This 86616-nucleotide long non-coding RNA is filed under the name Citrus maxima (pomelo). RNAcentral's name for it is "long non-coding RNA (CMAX_LNC001332)". The record is from RNAcentral. Lineage: Eukaryota; Viridiplantae; Streptophyta; Magnoliopsida; Sapindales; Rutaceae.
UAAAAAAAAUGUUUGAAGAGAAUAGUAUCUUAAGAGGAAAAAGAAAACAUAAGAAUGCUUUAGGGUUAAAUAAGUAUUAUAAUGUAGGUUUUUCUUUUAGUUAUAACUUAUUUAUAUUAGUUAAAUAAAAAGAAAAUUUAUUAACCAACAUUUUAAUUGAUAAAAUAAAAUUAUUGAAUAAAAACUAAAAAAAUAUUCAUUUAUAAUAGGAAUUGGGGUGGGGAUGGGGUAGGAAGUACAAAACCAACCCCACCCCAUUAAGAAUUUGAGAAUUAUUUUUUCCUCAUUCUCUACCCAUUCUUCAAAAAUUAUUUAAAAUUCACCUCAUUUAAGGUGGAGUCUAUCCUAUCAGUACUUUCAUGGCACGAAAUUAUUAUGCUCAGUGAUGAUUAUUGAUUUGUCUAAUUUUAGAUGAGUUAUUAUUUUGGAGAUCAGUGCUUUUGCUGCUAUGCUGAAAGAAAAGGAGCUAGAUUAUUCUUCUUUAUACUGCAUGAUAAAAUAUUUACUAAUAGUCGAUAUUCUAUCAACAAUUAUGCAAAGGAGUCCCUACUGAAAAGCUGAAUUUAGAAUUCAAUGAAAGUUUUAAUCAUUGUAGCAUCUUUAAUUUUCCUGUUUCGACUUCAAACUUUGUGUUACAUAUUUGUUAACUAUAAUAUUCUCAAAUAAAUUUGCAGUGGUCGGGCCCGUGCCAGUCAAAAACAGAAAAAAUAAAACAAAAGUUGAAAAAUCAUGCAGCCGACCACUACAAAUUAAUUUAAAAAAAAGUAGUGGAAUAUUAGGUAGGCGAAUGCGGUUCAUCGUUCAUAGGUCAUUUAAGAAAGUAAUCGCUCCCUAAUUAAUUCUUUUCUUUUAUCUAAUCAAGAAAAGGUAGCAUAUUGUUUUUUUUUUUUUGAUUUGCAAUUCUUUAAAACAAAAAAAAAACAUGAAUGAUUGAUCGAUAAUAUUCAUUUUCUAAGUUAUUUUAAUUAUUAAAAAAAUAUUACAUAUUUUAUUUAUAAUAUUAUAUUCAUAUUUAUUAUAGAACUUUAUUUUAGGUAAAUUUUAGUUGUUGUGUUUGAAUGAAUAGAUACUUAUUUAAUUCUUAUAUUUUAAGUUAUAUUCACGUUUAAUCUUUAUAUUUAAAAAAAAAAAUGAUAGGACUCCCCUAAUGUUAAUAUCUUACACUCUCCUGUUCUUACCUUUUAUUUCCUUUUUGUUUCCUAGCUUUUUACUCCACCACAUCAAUAAUUGUAUAGCUUCUCUGAUUCAUAAUAAUUAUGCAGACUACUCAGCAUCACCACUUGUAAAAUCUCUUAUAUUUGUAUUUCGCAAGUUGCAGCGCUUAAGAUAAGUAAUAAAAUAUUUGUAAACGACAACAAAAAGCUUUGAGCAAUCUAUCUAUGAACAUUCUGUAGUUAAAUAUAGUAGAUUAAUUUGAUCUAGAGUGGUCUCAGUAGGUAGAUUUUCUGAUUAUAAAUAUUAAUAGACAUUUAAUUGUUUGAGAAGUCGGAGUUAAAUCAAUUCCAUAAUCAUUUUAAUUAAUUAAGAUGAAUAUCAUACUAUGGAUUUGCCUCGUAUUACGAAGAAAAUGUACGAAAGAUAGUUAAGGAACAGCUUUUUUGAAAUUUUUUUCCAGGAGCUGAUAUUAUAUUAAAAAAUUGGGUGAAAAUAUAAGCUGAUAAUAUAUUAAAAAAUUGGGUGAAAUACAAGUAAAGGUAUUGCAGACUGAUCCGUUUAAGCUUGUGAGAGGACUCGUCGGUCGUCAAUUAUUUUCUCUCGUUCUUGGGAUACAUACAAGAAAAAAGUUCGAGGUGAGUUAUUAACAGUAAACCCAAACUGCCCUAUUUUAUUAAUAGCAAAUAGAAUAUUAGUACUCUUAAGGUGAGUAUUGACACGCUGUAUUUAUAUUAUGGUUUAUUUCAUCAGAAUGUACUACUUUGAGUUGUGAUACAAUACUAAAUUUGAUGUAUAUAAUAAAAUAAUAUUAUUUUUUGUUAAAAUUAAAUUAUUUUUAUUUAAAUAUAUUAAUAUUUAUUAUUAUUAAUUUUUAAAGAAGAAUUAAAUAUUCUUGUAUUUAAUUUUAUAAAUAUAAAAAAUUUAAUAGUAUAUUAUUACUAAUUAAUAAGAUAUUACAAUACUAUGUUAUUUUAUUAAUUCUAUUAUAUUACAAUAUAAUUUUAUUUAUAUGUAUUACUUUUUAUAAUAUAGUAUAAUCAUAUUAUAAUAUGGUAUAAUAUGAUUAUUAUGUAAUGAAAGUAAAAUAACGUACUACCAUUUAUUUAUUUAGGUUCAUUACUAUCUUAUAUUAUUAUUACUUAAAUUAAAUUUUAUUUAAAUACAAAUAUAAAUUAAUAUUUAAUAAAUAUAAAUUUAAUAUAAUUAUAAAAUAAUAAAGAUUAAAUGAUUAUACUUAAAAUAUGAACAAUGUUUUAAUACAAUACAGCCUAAAUUCUAUCUCCGCUUAGUUUUAUUUUUAUACCUUUCAUUGUAUUACCUAUCUUUUUAAUAUUGUGCAAUGCAACUAGAAAUUUCAGCCGAAGGAGGGUUAGCAUAAGAACCAUCUUUUUAAUAUUAUGAUGUAUUGCAUUAUUUAAUAAGGGUCAUUGUAUUGUCACUAUAUUAUACUAAUAUUGUAUGAUGUUUUGUGUUCCACUGUAUUGUAUUAUCUAAAAUAAUAUUUUAUAUAAUUAUUUAUGUGAAAUUAAUAUUAUGUAUAUUUAUUAAUGCUUUAUAUCAUUAUUAUAUCACAUUUAUUAAUUUAAUUUACAAACAAAAAAAUAAAUCACUGACAGCCACAUCAACCAUCGCUAAUCACCACGAAUCAGCGCCGACACCACAUUUUGGUUUUAUUUGAUGUUAUUUUUGGUAUCGUAAAAAUCCUCAUCGGUGGAGGACUGCAACGUACAUGUUUCACUGGAAAUAGAGCUUCCGGUCACUAGAGAUCUAUAGACAAAGUUUUGAUGUUCAAAAUUUUGACCAUAGAUUUAUGGCGAAAGGAACCUCGGUUCUGAUCAAACAUAUAUUGUUGUAAUGCUCAAACAACGAGAUCCAACAAUACUAAAAUAAACUCAAAUAGACAUAUAAAUCUAGCUGCCGAUUUUUGCGAGAGUGAUUUCAAGCAGUUGCCAUUGCCGAUUAAUAUUAAAUAGUAAUUAUUAUUGAUAAUAUAAUUUUAUUAUAUUAUUUUGUAUUUAUAAUAACUAAUAACUAAAUGUAAAUUCAUAUUAUAUAUUUUUAAUUAUUUUUUAAUUUUAUUAUAAUAUUAUAAUAUUAUAAUAUUUUCUUUUCUUUUUUAGUUAGUGUGCAGUUCUAAUAUGCUUCGGUGCUUGCUGCUUUAAAUUCGAAAAUAUAAACUUAUUAUUAUUUUAUUUUUUAUUAUAUUAAAUAAUUAUUUUAUAUAAAUAUGAUGUGGUAUUAUUAAAUAACAUAAUAAAAUUGAAAAUAACUAAAAAUACAUAAUACGAAUUUACACUUAUUUAUUAAUUAUUAUGAUAUAAAAAUAAAAUAAAAGGUAGAAUAUAAUAUAAAUAGUAUUGUAAUAUAAUAUAAUUUUAUUAAAUUAUUAGUUCGAUUUUAUAUUAAUUAUCAAUAGCUUUUGCUCAUUUAUAUAGCAAAAGCUAAUGCGUCAACUUGCGCAGUGCACUAACUCCAGCUCCCCCGGGUUUGUGUAAUGCACCAAAAUUUAUAAUGCGGGCAUUAUAGACAGCUCCACAACGCAACUUCGAAAUUUGCCAAACAUGGGUCGGUAACAAGUUUUGAAGCCCCAAAAAUUCAAUAAACAGUACCUCAGUGCUUGAAGCUCUAAGUUACCAAAAAUGAAAUCAAUUUUUAAGUCAUUGUUGUUGCAAAACAAAAGUGUAAAGGGAAAGUUGACGAGUGUUUCUUAAACACUACUAAUUGUCAAGUUAAAACUGUUUGGUAUGCUAUUUAGAACUUAUGCUUUAGUAAAUAGUUGUGGGCAAUAAUCGGUUACCUUGCCAAAACCAAAUUGCAAUUAUUUACUAAAACACUUAUCUUUGGCAGCAGAGUGACCAAAAAGCUCAUACAAACAGAGCCUCAAUCCAGCUGGGUUAAGGGUUCCAAUGAAAAGUAAAUUUUCUCUAACAGACACACUUUUCCGAAAACUAAGAUUUAUUCUGAAGAAAUCUCAAAAGAUUUAUUCUAGAUAAUGUAAAGCCGUAAAUGUGACACAGGCGUGUUUUAGAUUUACUCCAAGAGACAAGUACAAUCCAAGAUUAUCACUCCAAUUGUUUCAAUUGAUUGUAUUUUUCUAGACAUAAUUAAAUUACGUAUAAAAUAUAUAUUGUUAGAAAGGUGAAUAUAUAUGUCUAGUUUUUGAAGAAUUUUAUGGAAUUAAAUUCAAACUUCUGUUCUUAAAGAAAUUCAUGACUUUGUCAAUGAAGGUUACAACUGUUAGGAAUUCUACACAUAGCAAAAAAGUUUUGAAUUUAAUGGCAUUAAUGCAUCAAGAUCUAAUUAAGAAGCUUCAAAUCAGUGAAAAGCUUUUGAGUCAAGAGUUCAAUGAAUUUUACAUGUUUGAUUUGGAGUUUUCUACAUUAAGAUAUGAUUAAACGAGUGUUGACUGCUUACACUUGCGGUUGAAACCGACCUUGAUGUCAAAUUGUAUUUUGCUUUGUUUUCUUUCACCUCAUGAUAGCUAAGACCUGUUAUUCAAAUUUGAUUUGAAUUCUAAAUGAUAGAGAUCUUAUCCUAAGUUCGGAGGGAUGUUCCAAGUUGUCUAUACAAAAAAGUAUUACAUUGUAACUUUACAAAACAGGGUGAUUAUGAGAAUGUAACUUAGAAGAGUGCUCUUGUUAGGGUUUCUUCAUGCAACUCUAUAUCUCUUGGUUCGAUUCCUUAGAGUGGUGAGUUGAGAAGUGCGGUAUCUCUUGUAGGAUAUCAUUAGAUGGUGAAUAUCUAUAUCCUUUUGUAAUCCUCUUAAAUGGUGAGUUUUGGUAAGUUAGAGAGCCUUGUAUCUCUUGUAAAACAUCAUUGGGUGGUGAAUAUCCCAUUGUAAUGAGCUUUGCUCUGGCCUUAUCUACGUGUGUGUUUUACUUAAUAAUGAAGUGAAAUACUAACUAGGCAACCCAAGAGGGGGGGUGAAUUGGGAUUUUAAAAUUUAAGCUAAGCAAACCACACAACAAUUUAAUCUAUUGCCUUAAUCAAAUUGAAAACAAUAAAUUCAAUCAUGCACAAUAUUAAAAGAGUAAGGGAAGAGAAAACAAACACAAUGAUUUUUACGUGGUUCGGCAAUCCCCGCCUACGUCCACGCCUCCAAGCUCACCGGGCUUGAGGAUUUCACUAAGCUAGCCUCCCAAGGCUUCAAACGCUUACAAUUGACUUCCAAGGUGUCAAUAGACCUUUACAACAAGAGAUUAUCCCCAAUCUCUUAACCCAAGUGUAUCCCAACACUUACAAUCUUUUAACUUGAUUUUACAAAAAAGAUUACAAAUGAAUCUCUCUCAGACAAUGUGUUUGAUCACAAGUGAAAGCUCAAUGUGUGAAUGAAUGAGAUGAAUACAAGAAUUUAAAGCUCAAUGAAAGUUGUAUUCUCGGUAUUUUGCUCAAUGAUGAUCGUUGGAAUCCUUCUUGUUUGAAUUGGAUUGAGCUUAUUUAUAGUUGGAGUUGAAAACUAGCCGUUAUUGACUUUCUGCACACUGUCGGAUCGCCGCUAACUAGAUGUCGGAUCGCCGUUUGACUGGUCAAUAUGACCGUUGGGUUGAUAUUUCAAAUUGUCGGAUCGCCGUUAUCUAGAUGUCGGAUCGCCGUUUAGGUCCAGAGGGUAAUCUUCAGUUCUGUUAGAUAUCGGCGAGCCGUUUAUCAAAAUUGUCGGAUCGCCGUUUAGGUCCAGAGACUAAUCUUCAAUUCUGUUAGAUGUCGGUGAGCCGUUAUCAAUAUGUCAGAUCGCCGUUUUCUAUAGUAAAUGCUACAGUGAAAUAUUUUUCAAAUUUACAGUUUGAUCCCAAAACUUUAUAAAACUGUGUUACGGCCCAAACAGUUAUAAAACUUUGCAAAUAGGUCCAAUUUCAGAAUUUCUAAGUAAUGCUUUGUUAAACCCAAAAAUUUCUAAAAUUAUGGUAUAGCCAAAAAUGCUAUGACACUUUUCAAAUAAGUCAUUCUCCAAAAUUUCAAGCAAUACUUGUUUAUUUCAAAGUAUUCAAAAUUCUUUCAAUUAAACCAUAAACUUUGAAAAACAACCAAUUUCAUAAAAUCAUUUUUCCAUUCAAUAUGAAACAUUUAUAAUGUGAAAAUAAUGAUUUAUUUAAAAAGAAUAAAAACAAUCAAUUUCAUAAAAUCAAUUUUCCAUUAAAUAUAAAACCUUUAAAAUGUGAAAAUAAUGAUUUAUUUAAAAUGUAUAAAAAAUAAUUUGAUCUUAAAAGAUUAAUCAUUCUUAAUCUUGUUUGUUAUCAUCAAAAUCAAUAUUAUGGAAACAUAUAUGUUAACAUGAAGUUCAGUUUAUAAUUAGGCCAACAUCAAAAUGGCAUUAGAUGUUUGUUGUAUUCUUCGCUUUCCUUUGAGACAGUCCAAAAUUUGCUAAAGUUUUCACAACAAAAGUAGGAUGUGAUGUCCUUUAUAUGUUUUUGUUAGAAAGGAAACAGACAAAAUGCAUUUAGCAUUGUCAAAGCAAGGAUAGAACAACGCAAAUUUUUUUGACAAAUAGAGCACCAUUUGAUUUGGAAGAAAAGCUGGAAUAAUAAACAAGCAGAGAUCAAAACUGAAAUCAACCCAAAAUCAAAGAAGAAAUGUGGAAAGGAUACCAAUACAUUGGACAUUUGAAGAUACAUAGUUUGAAUGUUAGACUGAGUAUAAGUAACCUCCUAACCGAACUAAUGUUAUGAAUUGGUCAAUUUUAUUCUCUGUAGGCCCAUGUUCGAACAUAGGGAAGCUAAAUGCCCUUUUAACAAUACCUUCUUUAAUUCUGCCUGGAAAUUGUGAUAGGACUUUGGGCUAAAUUAGGGCUGACUUUUAUUGAUUAGAUCAAAAGAAAGAACAAUCCUAACCUACCUCUCUCAAAACUCCUAAUUAUUCCUACCACUAGACAAAACUCAACAUAAAUCCUAAAUGACUCCUUAAUCUCUUAUUUAUACCCGAGCCAAAAUUAACAAUAAAUAAAAUUACUAAACUGGCCCUAGCCCUAAAAUUACUAAGUUUUUCCCACCCUUUAUAAAAUUACUAAACUGGCCCUAUCCCUAAACUGACUUUUAUUGAUUAGAUCAAAAGAAAGAACAAUUCUGACCUACCUCUCCCAAAACUCCUAAUUAUUCCUACCACUAGACAAACUCAACAUAAAUCCUAAAUGACUCCUUAAUCUCUUAUUUAUACUCGAGCUAAAAUUAACAAUAAAUAAAAUUACUAAACCAGCCCUAUCCCUAAAAUUACUAAGUUUUUCCCACCCUUUAUAUUUGCGGCUAACAUAAGUUUUAUUGGUCUAACAUUACUCCUCUCUUAAAAAUACACCUCGUCUUCAAGGUGAAAUCAAGGAAACUGCUGUUUUUUCUUCCUUGGCUUCUUCCCUACCUUCCUUCUCAUCACACGUAGUUAGGACUUGUAGUGAUUUAUCCUUACAUCGAUGACUCGAUGAAAAUUUCUCAUCGCAUUGAAAAAACAACCUCAUUGUCCUCUUAUCUUGAAUCUCUGUCUCUGUGAGCCAUUUGAAAGUCACCCCUAGUCGUGCUCGACUAACCCGAUCCCUUUAGGAAUCUCUUUAUAACCCCAUCAUUUGCAUUUUUUAGCCUUCUAAUGGUGUGCUUUGGAACUUUGGCUGAAACCCCAAAGUUUGGGUUUUCUGUCCUAUCAAUGGUGUGCUUUUUUGGUAUGAAAAACAGACUAAACUGCUCAUAUUACCCCGUUCUAUUGUGUUCUUAUCAUUAAUCAUCUGUGCCAGCUCCAUUGACUCCUCUAACCCUCUCUACCCUAACAAGUGUAGUGAGCUCAGAUUUCUGGCUUCAGUUCCUUCAUAAAUUUCCCUUCCAAUACUGCCUCUUGGAUUCCCCCAAAUACCCUGAUAGCAACUCAAACUUCUCCCUAUACUCCAUGAUUGGUCUUUCCUAGGUUAGAGCAAAAAACUAUUCAUACAAAUCUCCCUUUUAAGUGGCCUAAAGCUUUUCUAAUAGUCGGUCCUUGAAUUCACCCUAUAAAUCAAUGAUUGUCAUUGUUCUCGCCAUUGAAACCAUGCAAGGGCCUUUCUCUCCAAGCAUAACGCGGCCGUCGUCAGCUUUUUCCUUUUUAAGAGUCCAUUCAUGGUGAAAAGAGUGUUCUAUCUUAUACAUCCAUCCAUAGGCAUCCUCGCCUUCAAAAAUAGGCAUUAUUAGUUUCCUUACCCUAGAAUCUACCCCAAAUUGAGUCUGUCCUGCCCGAUUUCGCACUAUUAGAGGCCUCUAACCUCUCGAAUCUACAUCAAUUUCACAAAUCUUGAGAUUUAGCCCCAAAUUCUCCUAGUCCAGCCCCAUAUUAGGCUGAAAUCCCUUGCCCAAUUGUUUUAUGGUAAAAACCGCUCUUUCUCACAUCGAAAACCCCUCUUCCCGCCCAUCCGGCCCUAAAUCCGAACUAUCCAGACCCAAAAUCGCCCUGGCUUGGCCCAAAGCAACCCUAUAUCUUAUGUUGGAAAGAUAUAUCAUUUAAAUCCUACUAUUUCUAAAAUAUAACUAAUUCAAACUUUAUGUGUGUCAUUAAUUAAAAUCAUCCUCUAAUCUAUUUUUUAGAAAAUAAAACAAAAUCUCAAUAAUAAUAUUUCAUAAAACAAGCAUAUUUCAUGUUAACCCAACCAAAAACCAUCCGAAAACCUCCUUCUACACAUAGUUACAAAGAAAAUCUCACCCCAAUCCAUUAAAAUUGUCAAAUUUAAACAAAAAUUAUAAAUUUUGAAAUAAAAAUCCCAAAAUUUAUAAAAAAGGAAAAUAUUUUUUUUUCCCUCUCUUCUACUUUCUUCAUCUUCUUCGUUCUAUUCCCUGUUCAUCUUCUUCUUCGUUCAUUUUUUUCUUCUCUUUCACACACUUAACAAAUCCACAACCACUGUUAAUUUCAAAUUAGCCCAGCAAAACCCAUGUCUAUUGCCUGGCAAAAGCCAUGGCCUCGCACUGCCAUGUCCAGCAAAACCCAUGGCUACGCUAGCAAAAUCAUGGCAGCUGGGCACGGGCAUUCCAAGCAAGCCCAUGGAUGCAUGCAGCCAUGCCAAGCAAACCCAUGGCUGUGCGCGGCCAAUCCAAGCGAGCCCAUAGCUACGCGUUGCGACCAUUCCAAGCAAUCCCAUAGCCAUCAGCAACCAUUCCAAGUAAGCCCAUAGACGUGCGUAGCCAUGCCAAGCACACAUUGAUCCAAGCAAAUGGUUGUUAAUGUUGAGAGAUGAACAAAAUCUGAGGUUAUGACUAUGUUCGACAUGUCGGUUAUUCAACCUGGUAAUCGAUGAUGUGUCGGUUAUCUCGAGUAAGGAAGCCAUAUGACAAAGUUGUUCCGUCAGUUGAGUGAAUAAGUUGAGCAGGUGAUAUAACACGUGCAUUACUUACUCAAAACGUUAGAUGAAGACAGCAUUUCUGAGGUGAUUGCAACGUGUCCAAAAGCUAGUUUAAAUGGCUAGUAAAAGCUGUUGAAAGGCGCGGGAAAUUUCUAGGUUUGUUGCUAACAAACCCAGUAACGUUGAGCUGGCUUCUGGGGUAUUUCUAAAAGCAAUUUCGUGUUGUAUAAAGCCUUGUGAGUUGUUAUAUGGGAUUAAUGCAGAGGGUGACAGUUUCUCAGCUUCUUUUGUAUCUUGUAAAGGCCAGAUUAGUAAAAAAGCUUGCUUUCCUUUUCACAGUGGAUGUAGGUCACCUGUGUGGCUAAACCACUAUAAUCCUUUUAAGUCCUUGUGUGUGUGUUUUUAGUUCUUUAUCUGAUUCGAUCUCUGAUUGUUUCAGUAUCUGUGUCUUCAUCAAGAUUGUGUUGAUUAUUAGCCAUUCUUAGGUCAAAGAGAUUUUGAGUGGAUCUCAGGGGAUCAAGAUCGGUUUCUUACUAGUUUUGGUCCAGCAGUUAAUAAUUUUCAUGAUUAGUCUGGUUUUGGGGUUCACUAAUGAAUUUGGGAAGAAGCUAAGAUUUGUUGAAAAGGAGAUGAUGGGCCAAGACUUGGAAUAGUGGCGUUGCUGCACCAUCGCGCAGCUCCAAACUUCACUGCAAGUUGCUGGCAUGGCUACUGUGGCCUUAUGAUGCUUGGCGAAGAUGAAGCGUGGAGAACAUGUAGAAAACGGUAAGAAAUAAAAAAAAAGGGAAAAUGAACCGAACCAGAUAAAGAAAUUAACCAGAAAAUAAAAAAAAAAAGAAAAAAGUUAAAAAAAUUAUUUUUCUUAUUUUAAAAAGAAAUAAUUUUUAUGCUUUUGCAGUUAAAAAAUUAACUAAUUAAAAAAUAAAAAUUAUAAAUUUGGGUACAAAGCGAAUUUUAUUGAAAUGUUUGAGUGUGCAUUGAAAUUUGUUGAAACAUUUGGGCCAAAUGGUUCUUAAGAAAGAGAACCGAAUGUGAAAUGAAUUUUGUAAUCGAAUCAAAACGAAUCAAUUAAAAUAUUUCAAUUUGGUUCGAUUCGGUUCAAUUUUACAGUUCAGUUCAGGUUCAAUUCGUAUUAUGCCAAUUUGGAAAACACUUCUAAGAAACAGAAACAAAAAUAGAAACAUCAUGAGAAUUCAAAAGGAAAGAAACUGAGAGAAAAGAAACGAAACUCCAUUGAGCCAAAGAACAAGAGGCGGGGGUCUAUGUGUAUAGAGAGAAUUCAAUCACACAAGAACAAGAAACAAAAGUGGAGACAUCAUGAGAAUUCAAUCACCGUGAGAUUGCGAGGGAGAGACCAAGAGAGUUUGUUGUGCCGCCGCCGACCUUGAGAGAGAUGGCUGCCGAUUUAGGGUUAUGAAACAUUUAAGAUUAGGAAUUGAAAAAUGAAAAAAAAAAUAUUUUAGGCAUUUAUAUUUUAAAAUAAAUAUAUUUUUUUAAUUAAGUUGAAGCGAACCAAUCAGUUUGUCAGUUCAAACUAAACCGAAUACAAACCAAUUGAUUCGUUUGUUUUCAAACCAUUCGGUUUCUAACUUCUAAACCGAACCGUUGCCCGCCCCUACAUUUGGGUUUUGUGGAAAUUGCCUUUUAUGUUUUGACUUCUUAUCCAUGAGUUGACUGUUAAGAGAAUGUACAAAUAUAAUUUUAUGCUUUCACUAGUUAAAUUUAAUGGGAAGAAAACAAUAUUUGGAGAUAAGUUGAAGUUUUUAUACUUUUAAGGGUAAAUUAAAGUUUAUCAAUCUAAUAAGGGAUAGAAUACAAUUUACCCUUAUUUUUUACUCUAAAAUAACAAAUUAUUACUUAACUAAACAUAUUUCACUAAUGCUCCUUAUUUCCUACCAAACGGUGGGACUUGGCCUUGUGCCCAAAAUUCAUAAUCUAAUUUUAGCUGAUGUGACAUGUGUGCCGUAUGACAUAACUGUAGAUAAUAAUAGCUAACACAUUAACGAAAAUUAAAAAUACUAGUUUACAAAAUACAAAUCCGAAUUUUGUGUGUGAGGGAAUUUAAAAAUGGAGAGACUAAAAAAAUGUGGUGACAAAUGACAUUUAUUACCAAAAUUGAAAAUACAAAGUUUAGGCAACUGAAAGCAUCUCUUCAAUUGCAUUCAACCAAUUACCACCAUUCAUAAUUAACCAAAAUCAAAUAAAUUAAAAAAAAAAACACAAAACAAUCACAACACUUUGAUCAUCCCUGCUUUUUCUUCUUAGCAUAGCUCUUGGAAUAAAAAUUAACAAAAAGUGCCAAAAGGGACGCAUUAAACACAGCGUUGAAGCACCAACCCCAAAUCUCAGAGCAACCAAAACCCGUGAAAUGAUAAUACAGCAUCAAAACCGAAACAACAAAACCAAACACAAACUGAACAAUCUGACAAUCAGUGACCAAUCUCUUCCACUUUGGCCGCAACCCCAUCACACACAACAGAUAGUACCCGUACAUGAUCACAUGCACACUUGCAUUGGUGACAAGUGCAAUAGGAAACAAAGACUGCUUCGUCUGUAACCAAAGGUAGCACAUUACAACGACGGUUGUAUGGUGGUAGACGUGGAGGAACGUGAGCCGUUGGACGGAGUUUGACAAAAUGAUCAAAAGGGUGUCUAAGAAUUCGAGUAUUUUGGAGAGUUAGAAGAUGUAAGCGUAGAAGAAGAGAGGGCCAGACGGAGAAAUGGUAGGGGGGAAAUAGAGGGUGUAACGGAGGUGGGGUAAAUGGAGGAUGAUGGAGAGAGUGCAACCAACGGCUAUGAUGAGGGAGGAGAGGAGGAGGGUGAGGUUAUGGACGGCUAUGAUGGGCUUGAGGAUGUGGGGUCCAAUGAGAGGUGAUGAUGGUGGUGAUGUUGAUGUUGAUGCGUGGUAGAGGAUGAAUGUGAGGGAGAGGUAAGUGAGGAUGGAGAGAAUGAGGAAGUGUGGGGAGGAAGCUAGUGUUUGGUUCUGAGUCCAUGUGAAGUUGAGGAUUUGGGGGUGGUUUAUAGCAAAUAUUGGAGUGUUGCGGUAAUUGAAUAUGAAGCCAUGGCUGGUUUUUUGGGGGAGAAAGAUUUGGAAGAGAUGAUGUUCAGAGGAACGGGGGAAUUUAUAAAGUUUUGGGAUAAUGCGGAGGGUAUUUUGGACAUAUUGUUAUCUUAGCUUAAAUUUUAGGAAAAAGAUAAUCAAUAAUAACCUCUUUUUUCAUGUCAAUUUAAAACUCCGAGUGUGGAAGUUUUCCUUCGAAUAGCUCUCUCUCUUUUAGAGAGGCUUGAAUGGAAAAAUAUUAAGGGGUCGUAAGGACUCAGGUGGUCACUCCUAGUGAGUGGAAAGUAAUCUAAACCAGCAAGCUGUUGGGAUUGAUGUGCUGGUGGAGAAAGUUUCGAAGAGCCAAAGGUAGUGUAAAGCGUUGGGGUACGAGUCAAAGCAAGCAAGCUGAAAGAACUCACUAUCAGCUCUAGCGUUAUUUGCCAUGGACACUGAAGAGCUAAUUCGCAAGUGUCAAGCAAUAAAUAUCAGAGAGGAAGACAAAGCCAAAAUAACACUGGAGGUGACUCUGGAAAAAAAGAAAGAACUAAUGAUGGCAGGCUGCUUAGUGGGUAAAGUAAUGCUCGCGAAGGGAGUAAAUAAAGAGGGUCUCAAGGCUGCGUUACAGCAGGUGUGGAGGACUUUCAAAGAAGUCAAAAUCGAAAGCGUGGGAAACAACAUCUUCAUGUUUAAAUUUGCUGAGGAAGCAGACAAGAAAAGAGUGCUAAAAGGGGGACCAUGGCACUUCGACAGGGCAUUGAUUGUACUCGCUGAGCCAAGGGGGAUUGGGGAAGUCGCAAAACAAUCCUUUACUCAUACAUCCUUUUGGGUGCAGAUUCGUAAUGUUCCACUAGCGUGUAUGGAUAAAGAUUUUCUCCGGGAGCUGGGUGAGAAGCUAGGAUCAGUUGAAGAGGUCCAAACUGAUGAUAAUGGAGAUUGUAUUGGGGAAUAUGCCAGAAUAAGAGUUUCAAUUAAUAUAACAUUGCCGCUAGAGAGGAUUCUAUUUCUAAAGCGAGAAGGUGAAACUGAUAUCCCAAUGCCAGUGGUCUAUGAACGUUUGCCGGAUUUUUGUUAUUGCUGCGGCAUCAUAGGACAUCAAUACAAAGAGUGUGGCAAAUACCAAGACCAACCAAGAGAAGAUUUACCAUAUGGGAGCUGGAUGAAAGCGAUUACGGUAGGGGGCUUCACAAAGAGGAAUCAGAACCAGGGAAGGUGGAACUAUGGGGCUGGAAAAUCGGAUGAAAAAUCAGCAAGCUCAGAAAAUCACAGCUUCCAGCAGCAGCAAGGGCAAAACAAAGAAAACCCGAUAGAGGCAAACGGGUCGGUACAAAAUGAGAAGGAAAUGGGGCAAACCAUGGAGCAUGCUAAGAAUGAUGUGAUAGGAGGAGUAGCUGAGCAACAAUUAAUGCAAGGAGUGUCACAGUCAGCGGACAAAAAACAAACUGACGGCCACAAGCAAGCUAAGAAAAGUGGCAAUGCAACAGUCCCAAGAAAAAUGGGCACACAAGCGGGAAAUGGUAUCCUAAACGAGGGGGAAAAAAUGCAAAUAAGUCAUGAAAAGGAAGCUGGAAAAAAUGAUGGGCCGGAAGUCUCUCAGCUACAGCCCAAUAAGAGAAAGUGGAAGAGAUUACUUAGAGAGCUAAGUGAAGGGGGGGAAGAAAUGGAGGUACAAACUCGGAAAAGGCCAAGGGGGAAAAAACUCUGGCAAAGCCCAAGGAAAAAAACAAAACUCUCCAACUCAAACCAGCUCGAGACAAAAAAUCUGAUGCAUGUUUCUUCAACAGCAAGUCUUCAGCUGGGGUGGGAACCACUGAUGCUGGAAGAGGUGGUAGUUAUGGAAGCAAACAACAUGGAGAUAGCGGCGGAGGCUGGUGGCCAGCCCCGCCGAAAACCAUGAAUAUCCUCAGCUGGAAUGUUCGGGGUUUGGGGAAUCCCCGAGCAUUUCAAGCCUUAAGAAAAAUCCUCCAGUUGCAUGGUGCUCAGCUGGUGUUCUUGUGUGAAACAAAGGUAUCAACCAUGCAAAUGAAUGUAAUUGCAAGUAAGCUGAGCUUCGAGAAUUGCCUUGCGGUAAACGGUAAUGGAAGAGGAGGCGAAAUAGCAAUGCUCUGGAAGUCAGAUAUUGAGGUGCAAAUCAAAUCAUACAGCCAGCACCACAUUGAUGCCGAAACUCAAAUGCCAAAUGGGAAUCAAAUGCGAAUUACAGGAGUGUAUGGGCAUCUGGAAAUAAGCCAGAAAAAGCACACUUGGACGCUCCUCAGACGGCUGGCGGUUUUAUCUUCUAGUCCUUGGUUGUGUUGUGGAGAUUUUAACGAAAUUUUACAUCCAAAUGAGAAGAGGGGCGGCAAUGACAGAAAUGUGAAUUUAAUUAAUGAGUUUAGAGAAGUCUUGAGAGAUUGUGGCUUAAAGGAUGUCGGGUUUCGGGGGUAUGCUUUUACUUGGAAUAAUGGAAGAUAUGGGGAGGGUUUUGUGGAAGAAAGGUUGGACAGAUUUGUUUGCUCUAAAGCUUGGAGUGAUAGAUUUGUGGACUGUGCAGCAAGUAAUCUGGACUCCUGGACUUCGGAUCAUUGUCCCGUGCUGAUGGUUGUUCAAGAGAGAAGGGAGGGUAUGAUCCAAAGGGGUAGACAUUCCUCGCGAAUCCAUUAUGAGGAUAUGUGGAGUUCGUAUGACGGAUGCAAAGAGAUAAUUAAGGAGGAAUGGGGGCUGUAUAGAAACUGGAGCAGUGAAAAUUCAGCCCAAUCCUUUCGACAAGCAACAAAAACUUCGAUGGGUAGGCUGCUGGGGUGGAGCAAGAGGGAAUUUAGAAAGCGUGACAGAAAAUUAGAGAAGCUGAAGGUUCAGCUGAGGGAGUUAAAACAAAGAAGGGUGCAAUUUGUAGAUGGUGAGGAAAUUCGGAAGGUGGAGAAGCAAAUUCAAAAUAUUCUUAUGGAUGAAGAAAUCUACUGGAAGCAACGUUCAAGAGCAGAUUGGCUCAAGGAGGGGGACAAAAAACACAAAAUUUUUUCACGGCAAAGCGACGGCAAGAAGGAAAAAAAACAGAAUUUGGGGGAUUGAAGAUAAUUUUGGGAAAUGGAUUGAAGAGCCAAUCAAAGUAGAGCAUGAGUUUUGCAACUAUUUCACCAAGCUUUUUACAUCAACCCAGCCGAGACAAGAUCAAAUUGCAGCAGCUUUGGAAGGAAUAACUCCAAGAGUUUCAGCCAGUAUGAAUGAGAGUCUGGGGGCACCUUUUACAGCCGAGGAAGUGUUGGAAGCGCUGAGCCAAAUGUGCCCAACAAAGGCUCCGGGGCCGGAUGGUUUGCCAGCCGUGUUUUACCAAAAGCAUUGGCAUUCGGUCAAGGAGGGAGUGCUCACCACUUGUCUGCAUAUCCUUAAUUCACAAGGUACCAUCGGCCCUCUAAACCACACUUACAUUGCUUUGAUACCAAAAAUCGGAAAGCCUAGGAAAGUGACAGAUUUUAGGCCUAUUAGUUUGUGCAAUGUCAGCUAUAGAAUUGUUGCUAAAACAGUUGCUAAUAGAUUUAAGCAAGUUUUGCACAAAAUCAUCUCUCCAUCGCAAAGUGCCUUCAUUCCUAAUAGGCUGAUCACUGACAAUAUAAUAGUUGGCUAUGAAUGUUUGCACAAAAUUAGGCAUUGUAAAAGCAAGCGAAAUGGAUUAAUUGCCUUAAAGCUUGAUGUUAGUAAAGCUUAUGAUAGAUUGGAAUGGAAUUUCUUAGAGCAAACUUUGGAAAAAUUAGGCUUCUCGCAGCAAUGGAUUAGCUUGAUUAUGAGGUGCAUUAGUUCGGUUUCAUUUUCAGUGUUAAUAAAUGGUGCAGUGAAAGGCUUAAUUAAACCUCAAAGGGGCUUACGUCAAGGAUGCCCCCUCUCCCCAUAUUUGUUUAUUACAUGUGCAGAGGCCUUUUCAUCUUUGCUGCAGCAAGCUGAGCAACAACAACUCAUUCAUGGGUUAUCUUUUGGAAGCAAUCUGAAGAUUUCGCACCUCCUUUUUGCCGAUGACAGCCUGGUCUUCAGCAGAGCCUCCAUGGCCGACUGUCACAACUUGAAGAUGAUCCUUGAGUGUUACUCCACAGCUUCGGGCCAAAUUUUUAACUUCGAGAAAUCUUCCCUUUUUAUCAGUGGCAAUGUACAGCAAGAUCAAACUGAGGCUCUUGGGAAUCUAUUUCAGCUCAAUAUUGUGUCGAGACAUGAGAAAUAUCUAGGCUUGCCAUCGAUGAUUGGGAGAAAGAGAAGCAGUUUUUUCAAUGACAUCAAGCUGAAGGUUGCUAAUAAGAUCUCAAGCUGGCAGCAUAAAUUCUUUUCUUGCGGAGGGAAAGAAGUCUUAAUCAAAGCGGCUGUUCAAGCUAUCCCAGCCUACGCAAUGAGCGUCUUUAAAAUUCCAGGGGGUGUUUGUGAUGAUAUUCAAAAGAUGGUGGCAAAGUUUUGGUGGGGCUCCAAGAGGGAAGGGCGGAGUAUUCACUGGGCGAAGUGGGAAAAACUGAGCCAAGCCAAGUGUUUGGGAGGGAUGGGAUUUCGUGACUUCUCAAGUUUUAACUGAGCUCUUCUAGCAAAGCAAGGCUGGAGGAUUCAGCAAUGUCCAGAUUCGCUGGUGGCAAGGGUCCUGCAAGCUAGAUAUUUCCAGUCAACCAAUUUCUUGGCUGCUAAACUCGGCUCAAACCCCUCAUAUAUUUGGAGAAGUCUUCUGUGGGGGAGGAAAAUUAUUUGCGCGGGCUCUAGGUGGAGAGUUGGCAAUGGUCAGAAAAUUCAUGUUCAUAAGGCUAAUUGGAUCCCACGGGCUUAAACUUUCCAGCCAAUAGUUAAGCCAUCUCUGCCCCCUGAUGCUAUGGUCUCGGAAUUAAUCACUGAGGCAAACUGUUGGGAUGAAAAGAGGAUUUAUGAGCAUUUUGACCAUAUGGAUGCUGAUUUAAUUGCUAAGAUUCCCCUGCCUCGAAGUCCAAGGGAGGAUGAGCUGAUUUGGCAUUAUGGAAAAAAUGGCCAAUUCUCGGUUAGAAGUGGAUACCAGACAGCUCUCCAAAUGAAAUUUCCAGCCAUGGCUUCAAGCUCAGUGGUUUCCAAAAAUGAGUGGAAUAUUAUUUGGUCCCUUGCUUUGCCUCAAAAGAUCAGAAUCUUUGCUUGGAGAGCAGCCAAAAACCAACUCUCAUCAGCUGAGAAUCUGUGGAGGAAAAAAAUAAUCCAGAAUCCCACGUGCCAAGUCUGUAAAAUAGGAACAGAAAAUGUCUUUCAUGCUCUAGUAGCCUGCAAAUCGGCUGAGAAGGUGUGGAAGCUAAUCCAUUUUGAUGAUGACAUUCGUGCAGCUCACAGUCAAGACAUUCUAAGCAUACUGCAUGCUAUGAAAAGGAUGAGAAACAGAGACGACCUGGAGCUGUUGGUAACAAUUUUCUGGGUUAAAUGGAAUGCUAGAAAUCAGAUGAUCUUCAAAGGGAAAAAGGAAACCCCCCAGAUCAUGGUAGCUAAAGCUGAAGCCUUGAUUGCUGCUUAUAAGAGGGUGCAUUCUCCAGAUGAGGCCUGCAGUGAAACAGAGCAGAAAGCACCUCCCCAGAAAUGGAACCCCCCUCAAGCUGGUUUUGUAAAAGUAAACACUGAUGCAGCCAUUUGCUUUGAAAAGAACAUUGUAGGGCUGGGGGUAGUAAUAAAAAAUGUUUUGGGGCAUGUUACAGCAGCUGCUAUCAAGGUUGCUAAGUUUCAUGGAGAUGUUUCUUAUGCGGAAGCAGAAGCCAUGGAAUGGGGUAUGUUAGUGGCGAGAGAGGCCAACAUGAAAGCUGUCAUCAUGGAAUCAGAUUCUCAAGGUGUGGUCAAUUUAGUUAACAACAAGCAGGGCAGCAGAUCCGAGAUCUAUUGGGUUGUGUCAGAAAUUCAGAAUCUAGCGGAAAGUUUCGAUCGUGUUAGCUUUAAAUACACGCCUAGAUCUUGUAAUGUUAUUGCCCACUCUUUAGCUAAACUAGCUUUAGAGAAGUGCGAGAAUGUUGUGUGGAAAGGGUCAUACCCUUCACAAGUGAUGUAUCUCUUUUCUUCUUUAGUUUAAUGGAAAUCUCUUUUCAAAAAAAAAAAAAAAAAAAAAACUCCGAGUGUGAGUCCAAAAAUAGUUUUCGUUUUUCUAUUUUGGAUUUUAAAUCGUAAAUUUAGUAAAGGAAGUUAAAUCAAGUGAUCACUUUUUUUUUUUAAUGUAAAGCUAUUAUUUUUUUUAUGAUUUAAGAAAAUAUUUAGUUGCGUACUUUAACGAUAUUAAUAUUUGAUUCGAAAUUUCAUCUACUGAAACUACAAAAAUUAAUAUUUUCUAAUAAAUCAAAACUAAAAUUAAAAGAUGACUCAUUGUCUGCCAACUGUCAUUAAACGAAGCCAUCACUCACGCCAAAAAAAAAAGUGAUAUAUUCAUUUUAACGUAAUUUCAUACCAGCAAAUCAUUCAUUUCUUUCAAACAAUGACCUCUUUAAUUAUCCAAGGCUUUGUGAUAACGGCAUCUUUGGACGUGAGUGUCAUUAGACUUUUGGCUCAAUCAGACUUGUGGAUUACAUGCACUCAACUUCGAUAAUAUAGAAAUGGGAGAAAAUUAUGUCAGUAAAAUCAAGUCAGUCAAAUAAGAAUUGUGUAUUUUAAAAAAAGUUGGAAAAAACGGGUUGACGGUGCAUAAUUUCCUAACUAGAAUUUCCCAACUCACUAGAAUUUCCUAAAGUUGGAGUAAAUAAGACUCCAAAGGAACAUGGCAAUUAUUAUUAUCUAGGAAAUAAUUCAUAGCUAAAACAAAAUUAAAUUUCCUAACUCACUAGAAUUUAACUGGAGAAAAAUUGGAAUAUACAAAGUUGUAUCAUAUAUAGUAUUUAGACAUCAAGAAAAGAAUCCCUGUAUCAGUGAACCAUACUUGCCAGGAAACACCGGGCGAAUACCACCACCUCCUACUAGUUCUUAGGUGUCUCAGAGUUUGAUGACGACUUCCAUGCUGUGUCUCUUCGACAGGCAGUAAAAUUGGGGAAUUGACUACAUUAACUCCAAGAAAUUUAUGCAGUCACCUUACUCCGGACUAUCUUGUUUGACGCCAAGGAGCCCAAGCCUAGAAACAAUGGCACUCUUUGGUAUCAACCACCUGGGGACUUUUGAGCUGAGCCAUGACAUCCUGAGAUGGGCUGUUGUGUAAGCCUUCUUCAAAAGGUCAUCCGUUGAUCUUUCUCCUAAUUAGACCAUCAAAACCCUGCAUGGAAUCCAUUGGAGAAGUUGGACAAUAGACAAACUCCAACACAUACAGACAGUAAAGAAGAAUUUAGACCGCAAUCACUGUGGCUGAACAAAUGGGCCUAUUAAAGCCUAUUAAAAGUUGGAACCAUAUUCACCACCCGCAUUUCCUUAGAGAACUAUAUCAGAAUUCUGUAAAUUUGAAACUAUUCUUACAUAUUUAACUGUAAAACAAGAGAAAUUGUACUUCCGUAGCAAAGUCUCACUAUUGGCAAGUAUCUGGACUUGGAAAGGAUGCUAGUUGAUUAAGUAAAGGAAAAUUGAAAUCAGACUUUGAGGUGAUAGAUCUAUAUCCAUUUUUAUAGGAACCGCAUUAACAUCAUAUGAGACAAAUAAACAAAUAACCCAGUCAAAGUUCAACAAACAAAACAUUAAAACAAGAGUAAUUUGGUCUAUCAAUGUAUAUUUAGAGAUGUCGAUCAAUAGACAAAUACGUAAAAGAGAGACGGAGAGACCUCAAAGCCGUGCUUAAGAACAGUGCUACUCCAAUAACAUCAAAAUGGUUGGUGACCGCUCUAUCAAAUCCACACAAUAGCUGAUAUCUCAUGUUUGCAUAUAGUUCAAUGAAAGCACCAUAACCAGGCGCUUUAGUACUUACAGAUGGGAUUGUCACAGGUAACCUGUCAGACAUCAAAUAUGGCCCAAAUUUACAGAUGGGAUUGUCGCGUUAGUGCUUAGACAGUAAACAUUUGCUCUAGUAGCCUGAUUACACAAGAAAUCGAGACAAGUGUUCAAAAUUUUAAUCUUUAUAUAUAGCCAAAAUGAUAAUGUAGUUGAUAAUACUAACCUGAGUUAAUAAAUACGGGGCUGGUAACAAUCACAGCAUCUCAUCAUGUGGGGAAAGCCUUCGCAACAGAAGACGCUGCUUGCUUUGAAGCAAUAAUAACUUUCCAAUUCCAUAAGGUAGCUUAAUGCCCUUUUAGGAUAUCAGCACCAGCCUAACAAUUAUUCAUGGAAAUUCGAUUUGCAUUUAUCACCUUUAAUUUGCUCAUCUUUGCCUAGAGUAUUGUUUUUGCGUAAACUUAACAAGCUUGCAAGCCACCUACAAAUGGUUUUAAAUAUGUGUGAGAGUGUGAAUUCGAACGAAUUAAUCAAAUAUGAUGACAGAAGAAACAAAAGCAAAACAACCACAAGACGUAGAAAUAUACUUUUGUUAUAUUUAGAGCAUCUUCUACUGUCUUCUUUUCCUUUAGCUCUGUUUCUGUGUGUGUUCAAACGCAAUGCCUCAAGGCUCAAGAUAAUUUUAUGACCAUCAAUCUUUUGCAGCCAUAUGCAGACUUGAAACACUGUAGUGUCCCUAAGGAACUUGAAAAUUAGAAAGUUUCAGAAUGAGUGACUAAAUAUGAUAAUCGAAACUAAUUUAAUAUACACGCCUUGUAAAUCUGAAACUAAAUUACUCAAAUGUAUAUGCCUCUUUGCAGCAAAGAAACAGAGUCAAUAUACGAAGAUGAUUUUACUAACCAGUGAGAGCUUGCAAAUAUUGGAAGGAUAACGAUUACUCAUAACCCAAAUCCCCAAUACCUUCUAAUACCUCACUCACUUGAGUUCAAGCUCCCAAAAUUCACUACAGUGAAACUCUCACAACAAAAUUCUCUUCAAAGAUUCUCUACUCAAAUUUGAUUAAGCUGCUUAGAAUCCUUAACCUGAUAACUUACACAAACAAAAACAACUUGCCUAAAGUUUAAUAUUUAGAGGCAGAACAGUAAAGAAGAAGAUAUAUAUUGAUACUAAAAUUUGACCUGUAUUACCCUGAUGUCAAGAAUCACGACAUCUCAUGUGGGCAAAAUCUUCACAAUACGAGAUGCUUCCAAAAUUGAAGCAGCAUCUUAUCACCUGUAAUUUAAUUAAGACAAUAACUUUCCCCAACUAUUCCAAUGCAUUAUUGGGAACUAAAUUCAGAGGGCGCUAAUUAAAUAUCCUUUUAAUAAUAUCUUCUUAUUCUUCUCCAAUCUAACAGUUAUUUGGAAAUCUGAAAAGAGGUUCAACAUUUUACAACCAAUCAAAAAUCACUGAACCAUUGGAAAGUGAUUUACGUAUAAUUUUUUUUUUUUCCAAACUCUGUCCAAAAUGAUGAAUGAGAUAGGAUGACACAAGAAACAAAUGUAAAUUGACCGCAAGUAGAAAUAUACUUCUGUUAUAUUUGCAACAUCUUCUAGGGUCAAUUGCUUUUCCUUGAGCUCUGUUUCUGCAUGUGCUCAAAUGCAACACACAUACCACAAGAUAUAAUUAUCAACAGGAUCUCCCUAAGUUACAUGCAUGUAACUUAGCAUUAGCCUUAUCAACAUGAAUCUUUUGCCGCCACAUGCAGCCCGUGGAAAACUGUUUAUGGCCAUAAAGAACGGGAUAAUCAGAAAUCAUUAACAACGAGAGAAAUCAUUUUAAUCGCAGCCAAACAUACACACUAAGAAAAUCUAAAAUUGAAUUUCUCCCAAUGAAUGUGCCUCUUCACAGCAAUUGCACUAGCUAAUCCCAGCAGCCUGCGUCAUGGAGCUUCUCCCAAUGAGUGAGUGAGCCUUGAACAGUUAUCACUUAGCUCAAACUAAAAUGAAAUUAUUGUGGACAUCUGACUUAAAAAUACAUGUAAAAGCAGUUUUCUCAAAGCAAGGUCAAGAUAAGAGAUUAACUCUGCUUGUUAUUUACAUUAAAAAUAACAAACAAUGAAAAACAGAGCUAGAGAAGAACUUACCUGUGCAUUGAGACCAUGUGGGGAAUGUGAGAUAUCUUCUUAUAUUUGGUUUGAGAAACUCCAUCUUCUUCUGAAAGUUCUGACAGUUCCCUAAACCCAGGCCAAUACAAUUGCAACAGAAACUGCAUGCUUUAACCAGCAUCUUAUCAUCUCCUCUUAUUUCAAGACAAUAAUAACUUAAUUGCAACACUGCGUGCUUCCACCAUUAACCUUUUCAAUUUCAACACUUCUUUUGUCCCCCGCCCGAUGCCCUUUUAACAAUUCUAUGAAUCAGAUAAAUCAGCCUUCAACCCCAAAUUCCUUCCUGAUCCGUGGAAGCAUUUCAGCCCACAGACGGUUUGCUUUGUCAAUGUACAGCAACUCAGGAUUCUAUAUUUAAACUAUGAUGUUUGACAUUGCCCCAAGCACUUUUUUACAGGAGCUAAAAUCAAGCCAGUCACUUCCAUUUGUUGCAGUUUUAAUGCAGAAAGAAAAAGGGGGAAAAAAAUCCGCAAGAUGCCACUUGUAAUACCGCAUGUUCGCAGAAGCAGAGUUAAAUAAUUACAAAAUUACAUUCUUGAUUGCACAGAAAUGAUAUAUAGCAAAACAAGCAUAAGGAAAUAACAAUAUAAUUUUACAUUGUUCAGCUUUUGGUCUACGUCACAGUCAAAGACGGGAAGAGAAUUUUACUAAGAAAUAAGAGUGUACUAAUGUUAAAGAAAAACAUUCACUAAUCGCUGAUAUAUGCUUAAUUUCUCACCCACUAAGAACGUUCAAUUCACUCAAAUGAAACUUUCACAGGAAGGUCUCAUUUUUAAGGCAUUAGCUUCACUUCACAUGCUCAGCAAUUCAAAUUUGAGGAUGAUAUUUCUCAAAAUUGAGGGCUCUAUUUGGCUUGCCAACAAUCUUCCUCACCACUAUCAUCCUUGCUAUACCGGUUGCACUGAACAAUCUUCAUUCUGACAUUUGCACUAUUAACCUGAGUGCACAAGAAUCCGAAACAACUGUUAGAAAUUUUAAUCUUUAUAUAUAGCCAAAAUGGUGAAUAAGAUGAUGUACUUGAUAACAAAAACCUGAUUUAAUAAAUAAUUAAGCGGCCGAUAACAAGCACAGAAUCUCAUCGUGUGGGGAAAGCCUUGACAACAGAAGAUGGUGCUUUCAUUCAAGCAAUGAUAACUUUCCAAUUUCAUAAGGUAGCUUAAUGCCCUUUUAAGAAUAUCUGCACCAGCCUGACAAUUAUUGAUGGAAAUUCAAAUUCAGAAUCAUGUUCGUAUGAGAGAUGAAAUGUAAUGAGCGACUUGGCCACCAUAUAUGCAUUUAUCAUCUUCAAUUUGCUCAUCUUUGUCUAGAGUAUUGCUUCUGCGUUAACUUAAUUAGCGUGCAAGCCACCUGAAAAUGGUUUUAAAUAAUGAGAGAGAGUCUGAAUUCGAAUGAAUUAAUCAAAUAUGAUGACAGAAAACAAAAAAGUAAAAUAACCACAAGAAGUAGAAAUAUACUUUUGUUAGAUUUAGAGCAUAAUUCUUCUGUCAAGUUCCUUUCCAUUAGCCUUGUUUCUGUGUGUGCUCAAACGCAAUUCCUCAACACUCGAGAUAGUUUCUGCAGACCUGAAAAACUGGUUGUGGCCCUAAGGAACUUGAAAAUUAGAAAAGAUUCAGAAUGAGUGACUAAAUAUUUUAAUCAAAACUAAUUAAACAUACACGCCCUGAAAAUCUGAAACUGAAUUACUCAAAUGAAUAUGCCUCUUCACAGCAAUUGGUUGAAACUUUACUGCAAAGACUUUUUGAAACCCUUGAAGAUGAUACUCUACCUGAUAACACAAGGAAACACAAUCAAUAUAAGAAGAUAAUUUUACAAACAAAUGAAAGUUUGCAAUUAUUGGGAGAGCUCUACUCAAAUUUAAUGAGAUAUCUCUCAGAAGGGAGAGCUCUAAUAAUAUAUAAAGCCAAAAAUCUAACACUCAUCAAAUUGGCUUGUAAACAAUUAAUCUUCCUUACCAUUAUCCAUGCCAGGCGUGGUGAUCAAUCUUCAUUCUGACAUUUGCCUUAAUAAGCUGCUCAGUAUCCUUAACCUGAUAACUCACUCAAACAAAAACAAUUUUACUAAAGUUCAUUUUUUCAAGGCAAAACAGUAAAGAAGAUGAUAAAUGCUGAUACAAAAAAUUGACCUGAGUUGUCCUGUUGUCAAGAAUCACAGCGCCUCAUGUGGGCAAGAUCAUCGCAAUACAAGAUGCCGAAUUCAAGCAACAUUAAAUCACCUGUAAUUUAAUUAAGACAAUAACUUUCCUCAACUAUUACCCUUCUCAAUUUCAAUGUAUUAUUGGCAACUAAAUUCAUAGGGGACGUAGCAAAUUAAAUGCCCUUUUAACAAUAUCUUCCCCACCUAACAAUUAUUUGGAAAAUCUAAAUGACAAUCAUGCAUUGAUGGCAUAAAAAAUUGGCCACAAAGCUGCCUAGAAAACGGCUUUAAAUUCUUAAUGAGACAACGUAUUCGAACAAAUAUGGUGAAUGAAGAGACAAAGGCAUAACACCUCAAGAAGUAAAGCUUUGUUUCUGUAUGUGCUCAAACCAAUGGAAACCCAUGGAAAUGAAUUUCUACGAAUUAGACAUGUCAGCCAAAACAGGUACUCUGUACAAGCAAAGUAAAAGAGAGUUACAAAAAUUUUUAAGAUAAUUAAACUUUUAGUCACCAUAUAAUUAAUAGAAAACUUUGUACACAAUGAUUUAUAUGAGAUUAAGAUUGUAUACCUAAGUUUUAAUUGCAAACUAAAUAUACACAACAUGAUAUUAGCAUUAGAAGACUGAACCAAAACGUACCGAAUUGAAUGUACCUUUUAACGGCCAUUGUACAUGCAUUGAAAGUUUACCGCAAAAUCUGUUUCAAACGUGAUGCAUCUUAGAGAUGCAAGAUGAGAAAUUGUUAGUACAACUAGCAUUGAAACACGUGUGAAAACUGUUAAUGGACCUAAAUAACUUGAAAAUCAGAAAAGAUUAGGAAUGAGUGACUAAGCCUGCUAAUCGCAACUAAACAUACAAACCUUGAAAAUCCAAAAUUGUACUCGAUGAAUGUGCAAUUGCUCGAGCAGGUAAAUUUACUGCAAAGGCUCUUACAAACCCUCAAAGAUGAUACUCUACAUACCAUGGUAACCUGAAUAACAAAAAGAAACACAGUGAAUAUUAAAGGGCAUUCUGACAAUGCAAAUUUGUGCAAAUUAACAACUGCGGUUACCUGCAUAAUAGUGUUAAUACUGAAUUCCUUCCUCCAUGGAAGCAUAUGAUCAGCCCACAUGUGCUUUGCUCUGUAGCUUUUGAGUACCUGAAAUUGUUAUUACAACCAACGGUGAAAAUUGGGUGAAAAAAUGGUAAUAUUAGCAUAAUUGAAUUUGCUUAUAGAGGAUAAACCGAUCAAAGAAAACAACAAGAUAGAAAUGAUUAUCUUAGUACCUUAAUAUCAUGCAAUAAAAAUCAUCAUGCCUUCCAGGCAGCUAUCCAUCCUCAAUUGAAACAGAGCAGACCUGGCCAUCACUUCUUCAAAGUCCAGCAACUGAACGUUGCACACAACACCACAGUGGAAGUAGUUCCAUCACCAGCCUAAUCCUUGAUUACCCCAAUGUUCUCCAUAGGGUCUUCAAAGUCAACCUAAAAAUAAAAUGAAAAUCCAAUGCAUUAUUAUUAGGGAUCUAGUGCUUGAGUUUGCUUUGACAUCAUGGUAUUAGCAAAUUCUGAUAUAGCCAAAAUGGUGAAUAAGAUGAUGUACUUGAUAAAAAAAACCUGAUUUAACAAAUAAUUAAGAAGCAGGUAACAAUCAGAUAAUCUCAUCAUGUGGGGAAUGCCUUGGCAACAGAAGAUGGUGCUUUCAUUCAAGCAAUAGCAACUUUCCAAUUUCAUAAGGUAGUUUAAUGGCCCUUUUAAGAACAUCUGUACCAGCCUAACAAUUAUUCAUGGAAAUUAAAAUUCAGAAUCAUAUUAGAUUGAGAGAUGAAAUAUAAUAAGCAAUAUGCAUUUAUCACCUUCAAUUUGCUCAUCUUUGUCUAGAGUAUUGCUUCUGCAUUAACUUAAUUAGCUUGCAAGCCACCUACAAAUGGUUUUAAAUAAUGUGUGAGAGUGUGAAUUCGAACGAAUUAAUCAAAUAUGCUGACAGGAGAAACAAAAGUAAAUAACCACAAGAAGUAGAAAUAUACUUUUGUUAUAUUCAGAGCAUCUUCUUGCGGCAAGUUCUUUUCCUUUAGCUCUGUUUCUGUUUGUGCUCAAACGCAAUGGCUCAAGGGUCAAGAUAAUUUUAUGACCAUCAAUCUUUUUGCAGCCACAUGCAGACUUGAAAAACUGGUCGUGGCCCUAAGGAACUUGAAAAUUAGAAAAGAUUCAGAAUGAGUGACUAAAUAUUAUAAUCGAAACUAAUUAAACAUACACGCCUAGAAAAUCUGAAACUGAACUUCUCAAAUGUAUAUGCCUCUUCGCAGCAAUUGCUUGUGGUGGAAACUUUACUGCAAGGACUUUCUCAAACCCUUGAAGAUCACACUCUACCUGAUAACAAAGAAACAUAGUCAAUAUACGAAGAUGAUUUUACUAACAAGUGAGUGCUUACACAUAUUGGAAGGAUAAUGAUUACUCAUAAUAUCUCACUCAAGUGAGUACGAGCUCCCAGAAUUCACUACUGUGAAACUCUUACAACAAAAUUCCGUUCAAAGAUUCUCUACUCAAAUUUGAUGAUGAUGUCCCUCGAAAGGAGGCAAAAAAUCUAACACUGAUCAAAUUGGCUUGUGAACAAUUAAUCUUCCUGGCGAUCAUGCAUACCAGGUGUGGUGAGCAAUCUUCAUUCUGACAUUUGCCUUAAUAAGUGGCUUAGUAUCCUUAACCUGAUAACUUACACAAACAAAAACAACUUGAUUAAAGUUUAAUAUUUAGAGGCAAAACAGUAAAGAAGAUGAUAUAUAUUGAUACUAAAAUUUGACCUGUGUUAUCCUGACGUCAAGAAUCACAGCAUCUCAUGUGGGCAGAAUCUUCGCAGUACAAGAUGCUUGCAAAAUUGAAGCAGCAUCUUAUCACCUGUAAUUUAAUUAAGACAAUAACUUUCCCCAACCAUUUCAAUGCAUUAUUGGCAACUAACUUCAAAAGAUGCUAAUUAAAUAGCCUUUGAACAAUAUAUUCUAAUUCUUCUCCAAUCUAACAAUUAUUUGGAAAAUCUAAAUGACAAUCAUGCAUCGACGGCAUCAAAAUUUGGCUACAAAGCAGCCUGGAAAAGGCUUUACUCUCUGAAUGAGAGCAUGAAUUCGAAACAAAUAUCAUGAAUGAAGAAACAAAGGCAUAAUACCACAAAAAGUAAAACUUUUUCCCAGGGCUCUCUGUUUCUGUUUGAACUAAAACCAAUGGAAACCGAUGGAAAUGAAUUUCUAGGAAUUAGACAUAUCAGCCAAAACAGGUACUCUGUACAAGCAAAGUAAAAUAGGGUUACAAAAAAUUUUAAGAUUGAUAUGAUAAUUAAAAUUUCAGUCACCAUAUAAUUAAUAGAAAACUUUGGACACAAUGAUUUAUUGCAUAUUAAGAUUGCUAUAUAAAAUAUAAUAUUAGCAUUAGGAGACCGCACCAAAGCAUACCGAAUUGAAUGUGCCUUUUCACAGCCAUUUUACAAGCUUUGAAGCUUCACCACAAAUGCUUUUUCUAACCCGUGAACAUGGUGCACCCGAGAGAUGCAAGCUAUGAAAUUGUUACUACAGCAAGCGUUGGAACAUUUGUUAAAAAAGGAAGUUUAUGAAAAUACGCCUUUGGAUACCAGUCUUCAGGAAUCAAUUCAUCCGUAAUAACAAUUUUCAAGAAGUAUCAACUGCUUUAAGCUCAUCGACAUCACAAAGAUCUUCAACUAAAAUAGAGCAGAUCCGGCCAUCACUAUCCCUUCUACUGCUCUUUUCCUUUAGAGAAUGAUUGAAUUACAGAAUGCGUGUAAGGCAUUCUUAUUCAAGGUCCAAUGAUCAAACCUUGCACUAUAACAACAGAGGUAGUAGUUUCUUCGCCAGCCUAAUCCUUGGUCUCAGGAAUGUCCUCAACAGAGUACUCAAAAUCAACCUAAAAAUUAAGAAUGAGUUGGAAAACUGUUUAUGGCCCUAAAGAACUUGAAAAUCAGAAAAGAUUAAGAAUGAGUGACUAAACAUUUUAAUCGCAACUAAACAUCCAAACCUUGAAAAUCUAACUUUGAAGUACUCUUGAAUGAAUGAGCAAUUGCACGAGCUGGUGACAACUAAGGUUACUGUGAAGUCUCUUACAAAUCCUUAAAGAUGAUACUUUACAUACCACAAUAACCUGAUAACACAUAGGAACACAAUAAACAUUAAAGUGUAUUCUGACAAUGCAAAUUUGUGGAAAUCAUCAGCUGUGGUUACCUGGACAAUAUUGCCAACACCAAACUCCUUCCUCAAUUGAAACAUAUGAUCAGCCCACAAAUGCUUUGCUUUGUAGCUUUUGAGAGCCUGAAAUUGUUAUCACAACCAACAGUGAAAAUUGGGUGAAAAAAUUGAUAAUAUUAGCAUAAUUCCAUAUGUUUAUAUAGGAUAAACCGAUCAAAGAAUGAAAAAAGAUAGAAACAGAGCAGACCCAACCAUCACUUUCUUCUUCAAAGUCGCACCAUAACCACAGUGGUAGUCGUUCCACUGCCAGCCUAAUCCUUGGUCAACCCAAUGUUCACCAUGAAGUAUUCAAAGUCAACCUAAAAAUAAAUAAAAAUGCAAUGCAGGUGGAAAUGAAAAUUCUAUAAAUUAAAUAAAAUAAAAAUGCAAUGCUUGAGCUUGAGCUUGCUUUAGCAUCAUCGUAAUAGUACAUUUUGAUAUAUCUUUACUUCUCUGUUCUUGUUUAUUCACAACAAGAUAUCAAUAGAAGGAGAUGGAAAUGAAAUUCUAUAAAAUAAAUCAAGUGAAUUACCAGUAGAACAUUUUAGCAAUCCUUUGGGUAAACUUUUCAUUUUCAUAGUCUUGCUCUCCUGCCUGCAUCAUUAAAACCAAAUUAGCUUGUACCAGGCAAUUGCUAGUGUGGUUCUGACAUUUCCUCGAAUCCCUGGUGAACAUAAUUAAACUCGUAUGAAAUAAAACAAAGUGGGCUAAUGUAGUAAAAACAAUUCCACAAUUACUUUAAAGAAUUAAUGUCACAUAAAUUAUAUAUAAAAAAAAACGAUUAUCAUUAUAUAAGAUAAAAUUGAUAAUUUAGUUUUCAACAUUACUCCAAACGUAUCACAGAGAUUUUGUCUCUCAGCAAGUUACACAUAACAAAUUUUCGUACAUUAAAAAAUAAAUUACAUUGCACGAAAUUUUACAAAAGAGCACAUAUUUUGUUAUUUUUUAUUAUUUAAUCCUUAGAAAACAAGUUUAACAGAUUUGAUAACUAGGAAGUUUUACGUAUUUAUACCAUGAUUGAUUCUAUAUAGAAUUUUAAUUCAAAAUAUAAUUAUUUUAAUCAAUUUCAUUGCAAGCAACAACGAAGUAAAUCAGAGGAGGAGGAGAAAUUACCGGCGAGUGAUAAAUUACGGCUACCACUUGAUGUGGGGAAUGUGAGAUAUCUUAUACCAGUCUUCUCCUUCCCCCACUCUAUAACGGUUUUCCAGAAGAGGACAUUUCCAAAUUGUCAAAUCCUGCAGUGCCGUCGUUCGAAGGAGGUAAUCCGGCAGCACCUUUAAUUUGGGGCAAUGCUCAAUUUCCAAGGAAGAAAGACGUGGUAUGUCUGUUGUCCUGUGAUCUUCUAGAAUGGGCAGUUCUUCUAGAAGAUCACAAGAAAAAAUACUCAAUUUCUGCAGUGCCGUCGUUUGAAAAAGGUAAUCCGGCAGCGCCUUUAAUUUGGUGCAAUACCAAAUCGUCAAGGAAGAAAGACGUGGCAUGAUGGAGAUGUUUUCCUUCCUCGUAAUCCUGUAAUUCCACUCUUCCAAUUCUUCCAAGCCCCAAAUUUCGAGAGAUUUCAAUUUGGGGAAGGCAAUAACUGAUGAUGACGAUGAAGAUGAAGAUGGGUCGUCCUCACUGCUUUCUUCUAUUCCCAAAAACUCAUUACCCACUCUUUUUACACUUUUCAAGUUGCGUAGUUCGAGUUUUUCCAGAGGCAAUUUUCCCAAAGGAGGCAAAUGCUCACAAUUAACGCAGGAGAGAAGUUUUAAAUUCCUUAGAUUGGUUAGUGAAGUCAACCAUUUGGGAAAAAUGUUGCCUCCGUAGGAUUCAAUCCAUAAUUCCUCUACAUUCAAAGGCGGUUGUAAGGCUUCAAGAAGUUGUUUAUCUUUCUCAAUAUUCAUCCUCCUCCCUUCUUCGCCUUCCCCAUCUACGACUCCACCAAACACAAGACGCAAACGAAGGAGGUUUUUCUUAUUGUAAAGUUGUAACCUCUCAGCCUCAUCUAAAUGUGACACAUUACCCAGCCCUUCUAUUCCACAUUCUCGAAGGAGUUGAAGAUUUUUCAGAGAUUCAAGCCUACACGUAUUGCUACCAUCAACACCUCCACCCACCACAAACUUGUCUAAUGUUCGAAGACUGGUUAAUUUGGAAAUCCCUAUUGGCAUGUAUUUCAACGAAUCAGUUUCACCAUUCAGUAAACUCCUCAUGUUCUUUAACUUCCCAAUCCCCGCUGGCAAUUCCCUAAGAUUUUCGCAACCCCUAAUAUCUAGCUUUUGUAAAUUAUAUAAUUCACACAAAGUCUCAGGCAGUCUCUCUAUACAUAAUUUAGACAAAUUAAGAUAUUUUAAAUGUAUCGAUUUUCCAACAUUUUCUGGAAUUUCUCUAAUCAAAUUUGAGUAGGACGAUUGGCUUAUAACUAAUGCCCUUAAACACGCCAAUUUACUAAAUAACUCCAGAAGGACGCUACUAUUAAGAGACGGAUUGGAAGGACUUUCAUCAUUAAUUAGGAUGGUACGCAAUCUAUUAAGUCCGUGAAUGGAUAUAGGAAAUGAAGCGCCUCCUUCAAACUUUAACCCUAAGUGACGGACUUUGUCGCCAAAAGAGUUUAUGACUGAUUCUUUGGUACCAUUAAUUUCUAGCCACAAACAUUCUUUUCUACUUAUAAAUUGGGCAAAAUCAUGUACUAUGUCAUGCAUCUUGCAACUCAGAAUAUCAUCAUCGUCAUAAUCUUUUUCAAACUCUUGAAAGAAAGAGCGUGUUGCUAAGAUGUUGAAAUACUCUUCUCCAAUCAUCUCCAUUUCUUCGUCUUCUUCUGCGUUAAAGUAACCUUGAGCCAUCCACAAACUAAUCAAUUCUUCUUUAUUCAUACUGUAGUCUUUUGGAAAGACAGCACAAUAUGAGAAACACCGUUUUACCAUCGAAUUGGAGGGCAAAUCGUUAUAACUCAACAACAAAGGAGCCAAAAGACCUUGCCCAAUCUCUUCAAAUUUCCACAUUUCACUAUCUAACAUUCUUUGCCACUCUUUUACUGUAAUUUUAGAGCGCAAGAGAUUCCCUAUUACCUUUGCAGCAAGAGGCAGGCCUUUGCACUUGCGUGCAAUUUUUCGCCCGAUUGGUUCUAAUCUUUCACAAUCCUCGAAACAGCGACCGAAAAAUGCUAACUGCUUGAAAAACAACCAGCAUUCCUCUUCAGCCAGUUGUUCAAUGGAGAUAGUAUCUGACUCUGUUGUUCCCAUCAUACGUGCAAUUGACUCAUUACGUGUGGUAACCAAAAUUUUACUUCCGUGGAGACCAUUCUUUAGACAAAAGAAGAAUGGAUCCCAUUUAUUGGAAUCCCCAUCCCAUACAUCAUCUAAGACAAGAAAAAUUUUUUUUCCUCCAAUUGAUCUAUGGAUAUGGCUCAUAAGAGAUUGGAAUUCGCUUAAACUAGAAGCUUCUUUUGAUUCGCCUAGACCUUCAAUGAUUGCUUUGGCGACCCUAAUCUCCUCAAAAGUGUCUGAUACACACACCCAUAUAACUUUGUCAAAAUUUCUUUUCACCUCAUCAUUAUUAUAGGCUAGUUGUGCAAGAGUGGUUUUACCUAUACCCGCGAACCCAACCAGUGAGAUGAUAUGAGGGUGUUGUUCACUACUUUCACACAACAACUUGGUUAAGAGCUUAUUUUUCUCAUCAUCUCUACCAAAAACCUUCCUCUCAUCAAUCAAGGAGGUGGUUCGCACUCGCUCUGGUUUCUUAACAUUGUUACUCACAUUCUCAACAAAUUUGAAAUUAUCUUUUUGUCUGGCAAUAUCAUCUAGCUUUUCACGGAUUUCUCUAAUCUUGACAGCAAUAUCAUGACGAAGACUGAGUUGUUUGAAACCACCAAAGCAGUUUGAGGCAGCAGGAAAGAAGGAACAUACCUUCGUCAAAAGAGUAACAAAAGCAUUGGCGUCAUCAUCAUCAUCAUCAUCGCCGCCCUCAUCAAGCUGCAAUUUCCGUGUUUCAGUGAUCCACUCAUCCAACACAUCUUCCAUGUCGUAGGAUGCGUCUCUGAGCUCAUCCAGCCAAUCAGUAACAGCUUUGUCGAGCUUCAUUUGCCUCUGCUCUGCAUCUUCCAGCACAGCUUGAAUGGCUCGAAGAUUUUUGGUAAGCUUUUCCACUUCUUUUUCGACACCCGUCACAAGCCUCCACUUUUCUUUCACCUGAUCUUGAGCAAUGGAUUUCAGCUGGUCCAGGAGAGAGGAAACGAUCGCAAGAGCCAUUCUGAUAUUAGAUCAAAUGGUAAAUGCUGCGAUUGCUUUUCUUGCUGCUAAAAUGCUCAGAGGAAAGUAGGUUUUAUGUAUUCUGUGAGAAUGUUCAUUCAAGCAUGUUUGCAUUCUUCUUAUACGUGCAAAUUGAAGGAGUCACCAUCUGGGGCUAGCUUUCUGCUCCACCACGUCAAUAAUUGUACAGCGUCUGCUCUGUUUCUCUGAUUCAUAAUAAUUCAUUAUUAAUUCUGCAGAGUACACAGCAUCAGCACUUGUGAAAUUUCUUACAUUUGUAUUUAGUUACAUGCUGCUCUUGAGAUAAUUAGUAACAAAAUAUUUGUAAACUGCAACAAAAAGCUUUGUGCAAUCUAUCUAUGAAUCUUGAGAAUUCACAUAUAAUACAGUCGAUUUAAAAUAGUCAUAAAUUUUUUUUAUUAUAAAUAUUAGUAUAUUUGUAAUGGUAUAAUAUAUAUCGAUGAAACUAUAUAGAGUAAUUUCGCCUAAUUGUAUAAAUUCAUUACGAAUAUCAUCACAAAUUUGUAUUUGGUCGGGACGGUGCGAGUGAAUUUUUUUAUAAAAUCAUCUCCUGACAAUUUAUUUAUUAUAUUUUUCAAUUUAGCUUUACCGUAUGGAUCCAUUUCUUAUCUAUAUGGCCUUUUAUUAUCAGGUAGGCCAAGGCCAUUUGGUCAUUUGAAAAAGUAUGUGAUUCCGUUUUAGUCUAUUAGGUCACGACAAAAAGAGAAUUGGAAAAUGUAACAUUCUCAAAUUAAUUUGUAGUGGAAAAGAGAAAAAUAAGACAAAAGUUGGAAAAAUCAUGCAGCCGACCCUUUUUUCUAUCUGAUUGCGCAAUAUUAGGUAGGCGAAUGCGACUUCAUCGAUAUCACACAGCAGUGGUUCUGUCAUUAAUUUUUUUCUUUUAUUUAAUUAAGAAAAGGAAGAAAAGAUAGUACAUGUUAUGAUUAUUGUGAAUUUUCCAUCCCUUAUAUAAAUUCUCGAAUUCAUUUAAAUUGUGAGUCAUAGAAGUAUAUUACCUAAACUAUUUUAUCAGGCUAUGUUCGGAUACUAGGAUUAAGUUUGGAAUUGGACUAAUUUUGUGAUUAUAUAUUUAUAUCAUAUUUGGUAAGCUUAAUUGAAUUGGACAAAGGGACUAAAUUUAAGUUUAAUCCUAAAAUUAUGGGAUUAAUAAUCCUAAUUUACACUUUCCUUUAGUUGGGACUUGGGAUAAGAUUAAAGAAAAAAGUUAUCCAUUUAUGAGACUUUAAUUUAUGUCAUUAUUGUUUAUUUAUACUUAAUAUUAAUUAAUUUAUUAAUUAAUUUAUUUUUUAAUUUAUGAUUUACUUAAAAUUUAUUUUUAUUUAUUAUCUAUCAUCUGAUUAAAUUAGAACUUUACUUCUACUAACUCUUGAGAUUAAUUUUUCAUUACUUGCGUAUUUGAUAAUUUGCCAAUAAAAUUAACCAUUUAAUAAUUUCUUGCAUUAUUGAUUGUAUUAAAUUUAAUAAUCACUAAUAUAAUAUUAAAAAUAAUCAUGAAAAUUAAUAAUACCUUCAAUUAAUUGAUUUUAUAUACUUUUUUAAAUAUUUGAUAAGAAGUUGAUAAAAAUUAAUUAAGGAUUUAAAAUUUUAUUCAUUUUUUAUUUAUUUAUUUUAUCAUGAAUACCCAGUAUCUUACAAUAUAAUUAAUUUUCUUAUUCAGACUACUCAGCAUCAGCUCCUGUAAAAUUUCUUACAUUAUAAGCAACAAAAUAUUUAUAAACUACAACAAAAGGCUUAGAUCAAUCCACCGGUGAACCUUCUGAAGUUAUAUAUAAUAUAUUAAUUGUUGAUCUAAGAAUAGUCUCAGUGGAUAGAUUUUUUAUAUUAUAAAUAUCAAUAAAUUUUUUAUCGUUUAAUAGAUAUUGAUGAAAUUAUAUGGAGUAAUUUCGCCCAAUCAUAUUAAUUCAUUAUGAAUUUCAGCACAAAUUUAUAUGUGAUCGAUCUGGACCGUGCAAGUGAAAUUUAUUUACUAUAUUUUUCAACUUUUUGUCAGGUAGGCAAAAGCAAAAGCCAUUAUCUCAUUAAUUGAUUUGGUCAUUUGAGAAUGUAACUCUAUUAUGCCGUGACAAACUCCAAGAUCUAAUUUAGAGAGCGACUCAAAUAAUGGUAAUUAGUAAUUUAUUACAUCUGCAAUUAGAUAUAUACUUUGUUUGAGAAAAAAAUAAAAUCAGUUUUAUAAUGAUUUUAAUUACAAUGAAUAUCAUGCUGUGAUCUAUGACUUGUCUGAUAUUACAAAGAGAAUAUGUGAAAGAUAACUAAGUAAUAAAAUUACAAUAAAUAUCAUCACAAAUGAAAUUUAUUUAUUAUAUUUUUCAAUUUAACGUUAACGUAUGGACCAUUUUUUGGUCUAUAUGGAUUAUGGCCGACAAUUUUUUGGCAAAAUUGUCUCAUUAAUUCAUUUGGUCAUUUGAAAAAGUUGUGGCUCUGUUUUAAUCCAGUGUCAAUAUAUAACUUUAUUAUGUCAUGACAAACUUCAAAAUCUAAUUUAGAGUGUGACUCGAAUAAUUUUAAUUAGUAAUUUAUUAAAUCUACAGUAGGAUACUUUGUUGAGAAAAAAAAAAGAAUAAAAUCUGUCCCAUAAUGAUUUUAAUAAAUAUCAUACUAUUGUCUACGGACUUACCUCAUAUUACAAAGAAUUAAAAUAUGCGAAAGAUAACUAAGGAAUAAAAUUUUUCCACAAUGAUUUAUAAAAUUGCUUUUGAAGAACGGUUAUGAUAUUAUAUUAAAUUACUAAGAAUUUAGUUAACCUCUCAAGAAGUCUAUUUGGUUGACUUCUCGAGUUUAAAAUUCGAAUGUCAAAAAAGAUAAAAGGUUAAAAAAAUAUUUUAAAUAUUCUCCACCCUUUUACUAUUUUAAUAUACAAAAAGAAGAAUUACUUGUUUUUAACAAUAGCAACCGGGGGCAUCAUAUAUCUGAUGGAUUUUUUUAAGGAACAAAACUUAUUAUAUCUCCUAUCAAAAAUGUCAUUUUUGUUAGUAAAAGGAUAUCUAUAUCUCCAAAUUUUGGAAAAAUGGUUACCAACGCUUCCAAGUCCUAAAUUUGAAAAAAGAGACACUAAAACUCAUUUUUUACUACAAUACCCUUUACUUUUAUUAUCCCAAAAGUUAACUUUAAUUUUUUUUAUAAUAAAUAGAAAUAUAAUAUUAAAAUAAAUGUAUUAAAAUUUAAAUUAUUAUGAAAAAUAAUAAUUUUAAUAUUAUUAGUAUGUGAGACUUUUUUAAUUGUAAAAUGUAUUUAAUGCAAAUAUUUAUUUAAAAUCUCUACAAUAAAUACAAAUAUAUUAUUAAAAUAAAUAUAAUAAUUUACAUAUUUAAAUUUAUUUUAAUAUUAAAGUAUUUUAAUAUUAUUAAUCUACUAUAUAGAUUACAUUAUUUAUAUAAUAUUUGUGUUUACUAAAAAUUUGCAAGUUAAAUUUUUCGGGAUACUAAAGGUAAAGAGUAUUAUGGUCAAAAGAGAGUCUUGAUGUCAUUUUUAGAAAACUUGGGGUGUUGGUGACUAUUUCUCCAAACCAUGGGGAUAUAGAUAUCCUUUUCUCUUUUUUAUUUUAAACAAGUGGUGACUAAAGAUUAAACUGUCAUAUAUUCACAAGAUAUUCACCACAAAAUUUGUAGGAAAUUUCUUCUUCCCUAAGCGGAAAAUACAAAACAAAAACAUAAUUGGCAAUUUCACUAGCAAAACUAAUAAUAUUUUGUUCCAUAUCCAGGGGUAGAGCUCGGGGUAAAUCUUCAUGAGGCCCAAAUUCAAAUUUCAAGUGUUAGCUGGGAAUUAAUUUUAGACAAUUUUAUUUAUUUAUUUAUUUAUAGCUAGUAUGUAAUUGUUAGGUAUUUCAAAAUUUGAGAAUUUUGUGAUUCUGUGAGAAUGUUGAUUCAAGCAUGUUUGCAUUCUUCUUAUACGUACCAUAGGAGAUAUUUAGUUUUUACCCUCAAGUCAAUGUCAAUGUGAACGUUGUUUUGUGCUGCAAAUUAAAGGAGUCCCCACAGGAGUCACCGAUUUGCUUUGAGAAUUUUGAGAAUUAUGUUUUGCGAGUGAAAUUGCCAUUUUGUCAUAAUGGAAUUUUGCUUUCUGAUCAAUAAUUGAGAAUUUUGCUUGUAGCUACAGGCUGCAGCGAUUUUGAUUUGACGGCUUUGAUUCAUAAUUGAAGUUACUGUUGCAAGUAAAAACUAAAAAAAUUAACAAAAUAAAAAUCAAAGACUUAGGUCCAUGUUUUAUCAAAAUUUUAAUAAAAGGCUAUUUGUCAUUUUGUCAUAAUGGAAAAAUAAUUAACAAAAUAAAAAAAUCGAAUUUACUUGAUUUUAUUUUACAAAAUAUAAAUUAAAUUUCUAUUAUAUGUAUAAAGUUUAUACAUCAAGUGGUUAGGAGUCAAAUCAAUCUUUUUAUACCUAAUUUUUAAUAUUUUACUUCGAAACCUCAAAAAUUUUUAAAGUUUGUUGGGUCACAAUCCCCGCUAGGAGUGGGCAAAUUUGUGUUCAUAUCAACUUGAAUAGGUUUUGGGUUGAUUAGGCUAGAAUUGGAUCAGAUCAAAAAGUAUGAGAGAAAUUAAUUGAGCCUCUCCCAAGAAAAAUACAUACAGAUGAUUAAUAUAUAACCAUUAAAUAAUAAAUAUGUUAGACUUACAUUUAUUUUUUAGCCCUAAAAGUAUGAAAAAAUUAAUACUUUCCGAAUUUAUUUUUUGUACCGUAAAGAAUCAAAUUACUCACAAAAUUAUUUUUAACUUUCAUCAUGCAAACAAACAAAUCAUCAUCAAUUUCAAUAGAAAAAAGUAUUCUAGGUAGAAAUGAUUUCUGUAGCAGAAUAUGAUGUAUUUGGGACUUCCAACUCUAUUAGCUAGGUUAAUAACAUGUUAAUUGUCACAUCAUUAAUUUUAGAUUAUAAAUUUUAUAUUCAAACUUUGUAUGACUGCUCCUUUUUCAAUGAUCUAACUAAUUGAUCUUGUUUCAAAAGAAACAAAAAAUAAAAAUAAAAUUAAGUAAUGCCAUGAUCUAAUUGGUCUUGUUAUUGACAUGUACUAAUGCAUUCUAUUUUUCUAAACUUUGUACAUUUUAUUGAUAUGUUUCUCUUGAGAGAUAAGAAUCAUUAUGUGGCAAAAUUUUAUUAAAGCUGGGAUUAUUUAUGUUCUAAUACUUUGAACAUUAACUUUUAUUCUACUCUUUAGAAUACCUAAAUAAUCCUUACCUAAACAUCUUUCAUAAAUGUUUUUUGCUGGGGCUGCAAAAAUUCAUAAUCUAAUAUUAGUUGAUGUGGCUUUUGUUCCAUCACAUUAAUGUAGAUAAUAAUAGUUAAUUCAUUAACAAAAUGAAAAAUGUUAGUUUACAAAAUACAAAUCCGAAUUUUUUGUGUGUGAGAGGGAAUUUAAAAGGGAGAGAUUAAACAAAUGUGGUGACAAAUUACACGUAUUACCAAAAUUGAAAAGACAAAGUUUAGGCAACUGGAAACAUCUCUGUCAAUGGCAAUGAACCCAUUACCUCCAUUUAUAAUUAACCAAAAUCAAAUAAAUUAAAAAAGAAAACACAAAACAAGGAUAACUACUAGUUGUUUUGAUCAUCCCUGCUUCUUUUCUUAGCAUAGCUCUUGUAAUGAAAAUUAACAAAAAGGGCCAAAAGGGAAGCAUUAAACACAGUAUUGAAGCACCAACCCCAAAACCCAGGGAAACCAAAUCCCGUAAAAUGAUCAUACAGCAUCAAAAUGAAAAAUGUUAUGGAUGGCUGUGAUGGGUCUGAGGAUGUGGGGUCCAAUGAGAGGUGAUGAUGAUGGUGAUGUUGAUGUUGAUGUGUGGUAGAGGAUGGAUGUGAGGGAGAGGUAAGUAAUGAUGGAGUGAAUGAGGAUGUGUGGGAAGGAAGCUAGGGUUUGGUCUUGAGUCCAUGUGAAGUUGAGGACUUGUGGGUGGCUUACAAGCAAUAUUGGAGUGUUAAGCUGACUGAAUUUGAAGCCAUGGCUGGUUUUGGGGGAAGAUUGAUUUGGGAGAGAUGAUGCUCAGAGGAAUGGGGGAGUUUAGAAAGUUUGGGAUAAUGUGAGGGGUGUUUUAGGCAUAUUUUUUCGUCUUAGCUUAAAUUUUUGUUAAAAAAAUGAUAAAUUCUUUUCUCAUAUCAAUUUAAAACUCCGAGUAUGUUUCCAAUUCUUCUUCUAUUUUUGGAUUUUGGAUCAUAAUUUUUGAAUCCAAUAACGGCCUCUUUAAUUAUAAAAUAUGGUAAAAGGGGAUGGGAUAUAGUGUCUUAGGCCUUUGUUUCAACGGCAUCUUUGGACGCGGGUUUCUUUUUUUUCUUUUUUUUUUUGGUUAUUUCUUCUCAAACUUGUGCAGAUUACAUGCACUCAACGUCGAACCCUUUUGUAUGGUAAAGUACAUCGAGUAAGGAUUUCUAUAAUCAAGCUAGAAAGUACAAUUAAAAUUAGAUAUGAGUGCCGCGGAGCAUAGUUUUAAAGUUACAAUAUUAAAGUAUUUAAUAAAUAUUUAUUAUUGUGACUUAAAAAUUAAGUUGGGAGUAUAAAAAAAUCAAUAAUACAUUUAUUAAUUUUGUAGGAAAUUUCUUCUUCCCUAAGCGGAAAAUACAAAACAAAAACAUAAUUGGCAAUUUCACUAGCAAAACUAAUAAUAUUUUGUUCCAUAUCCAGGGGUAGAGCUCGGGGUAAAUCUUCAUGAGGCCCAAAUUCAAAUUUCAAGUGUUAGCUGGGAAUUAAUUUUAGACAAUUUUUUUAUUUAUUUAUAGCUAGUAUGUAAUUGUUAGGUAUUUCAAAAUUUGAGAAUUUUGUGAUUCUGUGAGAAUGUUGAUUCAAGCAUGUUUGCAUUCUUCUUAUACUAAUAGGAGAUAUUUAAUUUUUACCCUCAAGUCAAUGUCAAUGUGAACGUUCUUUUGUGCUGGAAAUUAAAGGAGUCCCCACAGGAGUCACCGUCUGGGGCUAGCUUUCUGAUCAAUAAUUGAGAAUUUUGCUUGUAGCUACAGGCUGCAGCGAUUUUGAUUUGGCGACUUUGAUUCAUAAUUGAAGUUACUGUUGCAAGUAAAAACUAAAAAAAAUUAACAAAAUAAAAAUCAAAGACUUAGGCCCAUGUUCUAUCGAAAUUUUAAUAAAAGGCUAUUUGUCAUUUUGUCAUAAUGAAAAAAUAAUUAAAAAAAAAUCGAAUUUACUUGAUUUUAUUUUACAAAGUAUAAAUUAAAAUUCUAUUAUAUGUAUAAAGUUUAUACAUCAAGUGUUUAGGGGUCAAAUCAAUCUUUUUAUACCUAAUUUUUAAUAUUUUACUUCGAAACCUCAAAAUUUUUCAAAGUUUGUAGGGUCACAAUCUCCGGAGUGGGCAAAUUUGUGUUCAUAUCAACUUGAAUGGGUUUCGGGUUGAUUAAACUAGAAUUGGAUCAGAUCAAAAAGUAUGAGAGAAAUUAAUUAAGCUUCUCCCAAAAAAAAUACAUUUAGAUGAUUGAUAUAUAACCAUUAAAUAAUAAAUAUAUUAGACAUACUUUUAUUUUUUAGCCCAAAAAGUAUGAGAGAAAUUAAUACUUUCUGAAUUUAUUUUUUGUACCUUAAAGAAUCAAAUUACUCACAAAAUUAUUUUUAACUUUCAUGAUGCAAACAAACAAAUCAUCAUUAAUUUCUAUAGAAAAAAGUAUUCUAGGUAGAAAUGAUUUCUGUAGCAGAAUAUGAUGUAUUUGGGACUUCCAACUCUAUUAGCUAGGUUAAUAACAUGUUAAUUGUCACAUCAUUAGUUUUAGAUUAUAAAUUUUAUAUUCAAACUUUGUAUGACUGCUCCUUUUUCAAUGAUCUAACUAAUUGAUCUUGUUUCAAAAGAAACAAAAAAUAAAAAUAAAAUUAAGUAAUGCCAUGAUCUAAUUGGUCUUGUUAUUGACAUGUACUAAUGCAUUCUAUAUUUCUAAACUUUGUACAUUUUAUUGAUAUGUUUCUCUUGAGAGAUAAGAAUCAUUAUGUGGCAAAAUUUUAUUAAAGCUGGGAUUAUUUAUGUUCUAAUACUUUGAACAUUAAUUUUUAUUCUACUCUUUAGAAUACCUAAAUAAUCCUUACCUAAACAUCUUUCAUAAAUGUUUUUUGCUGGGGCUGCUAAAAUUCAUAAUCGAAUUCUAGUUGAUGUGGCUUGUGUUCCAUCACAUUAAUGUAGAUAAUAAUAGUUAAUUCAAUUAUUUACUUCUAUGCUCUUGUAAUGAAAAUUAACAAAAAGGGCCAAAAGGGAGGCAUUAAUCACAGCAUUGAAGCACCAACCCCAAAUCCCAGGGAAACCAAAUCCCGUGAAAUGAUAAUUCAGUAUCAGAACCAAAACAGCAAAACUAAACACAAACUAAACAAUCUGACAAUCAGUGACCAAUCUGCCGCAACCCCAGAACACACAAUAGAUAGUACCCGUACAUGAUCACAUGCACACUUGCAUUGGUAACAAGCGCAAUUGGAAGCAAAGACCGCUUCGUCUGUAACCAAAUGUAGCACAUUACAACGACGGUUGCAUGGUGGUAGACGUGGAGGAACGUGAGCCGUUGGAUGGAGUUUGACAAAAUGAUCAAAAGGGUGUCUGGGAAUUCGAGUAUUUUUUAGAGUUAAAAAUGUAAGCGUAGAAGCAGAGGGGGCCGUGGGAGAAAUGGUAGGGGGGAAACAGGGGAAGUAGAGGAGGUGAGGUGAGUGGAGGAUGAUCGAGAGGGUGCAACCAGCGGCCAUGAUGAGGGAGAAGAGGAGGAGGGUGAGGUUAUGGAUGGCUGUGAUGGAUCUGAGAAUGUGGGGUCCAAUGAGAGGUGAUGAUGAUGGUGAUGUUGAUGUUGAUGUUGAUGUUGAUGUGUGGCAGAGGAUGGAUGUGAGGGAGAGGUAAGUAACGAUGGAGAUAAUGAGGAUGUGUGGGAAGGAAGCUAGGGCUUGGUUUUGAGUCCAUGUGAAGUUGAGGGUUUGUGGGUGGCUUACAAGCAACAUUGGAGUGUUUAGCUGAUUGAAUUUGAAGCCAUGGCUGGUUCUGGGGGAAGAAAGAUUUGGGAGAGAUGAUGCUCAAGAGGAAUGGGGGAGUUUAGAAAGUUUGGGAUCAUGAGAAGGGUGUUUUGGGCAUUAUUUUUGUCUUAGCUUAAAUUUUUGUUAAGAAAAUAAUAAACUCUUUUCUCGUAUCAAUUUAAAACUCCGAAUAUGUUUCCAAUUCUUCUUCUAUUUUUGGAUUUUGGAUCAUAAUUUUUCAAUUCAAUAACGGCCUUUUUAAUUAUAAAAUAUGGUAAAAGGGGAUGGGAUAUAGUGUCUAGGCCUUUGUUUCAACGGCAUCUUUGGACGCGGGUUUCUUUUUUUUUUGGUUAUUUCUUCUCAAACUUGUGCAGAUUACAUGCACUCAACGUGGAACCCUUUUGAAUGGAAGUUACUGUUUUGCUGGAAUCGGGACCAAUUUUUUGACAAAAAUUUCGUUAUAAAAUAUGCAAUUAAAGUCGAGUAAGAUUAAGUAAAGUAACAUCUUGUAUGGUAAAGUACAUCGAGUAAGGAUUUCUAUAAUCGAGCUAGAAAGUACAAUUAAAAUUAGAUAAGAGUGCCGCGGAGCAUAGUUUUAAAGUUACAGUAUCAAAGUAUUUAAUAAAUAUUAUUAUUAUGACUUAAAAAUUAAGUUGGGGGAUAAAAAAAUCAAUAAUACAUUUAUUAAUUUUGUUAAAAUUAUUAUUUAAAAAUCAUAUAUACAACACAAGAUCAACAUUUAUAUUAUAGUUUCAGUUCCUUUUUCACAAUAACUAUAACUACAACACGGUAGUACUAAAUAGGAAGUCGAGUAUGAUCAAGUAAUUACAUAUUAUGGUUUUUUGGUAUUACAUGAUUCUUCAAACUGAAAUUUGCGAUCAAAAUUGUAUCAAAGAAAUCACAAAGACACUCUGUUUGACAAAUCUGCAGUAGAAUUUGCACAAUUUAAGUGGGUUGCAGAGAGUGAAUAAGAUUCCGAAGCAACAGGCAAUUAUUGUUAUUAAGAAAACAAUUCAUCGCUAGAACAAAAUUAACUUUUCUAACUUACUAGAAUUUAACCGGAGAAAAAUUGGAAUAUACGACGUUGUAACUUGUAUCACAUAUAGUAUUUAGACAUCAAGAAAAGAAUCCCUCUAUCAGUGAACUAUACUUGCCAGGAAACACGGUGAAAUACCACCACCUCCCUACUAGAUUAAUGCAGCAAAAUACUCCAAGAAAUUCACCCAGUCACAUUCUUCCGGACUAUCCUCUUUCUUCGCACUUCAGGAGCUCUUGUUUCCCCUUACAGAGUCGGCAUUCCCUUGUUUGAUGCCAAGGAGCCCAAGCCCAGAGACAAUGGCAUUCUUUGAUAUCAACCACCUUGGGGACUUUUGAGUUGAGCCAUUGACAUCCUGAGAUGGCCUGUUGUAAGCCUUCUUCAAAAGGUCAUCUGACUGAAGUAGCGGAUCCGCUUCCACUACUUGCCAAGCAAGCCUUGAUCUUUCUCCUAAUUGGACAUUCAAAACCCUGCAUGGAAUCCAUUUGAGAAGUUGAACAAUAGACAAAGUCCAACACAUAUAGGCAGUAAAGAAGAAUUUGGACAGCAAUUACUGAUUGUUUACGCACAGGGCUGAACAAAUGGGUAUAUUAAGGCACUUAAAAGUUGGAACCAUAUUCACCACUUGUGUUUCCUUAGGGAACUACCUCAGAGUUCAGUUAAUUUAAAACUAUUCUUACGUAUUUAACUACAAAACUAGAGAAAUCGUACUUCUGUAGCGGAGUCUCACUAUUGUUAAGGAUCUAGACUUGGAAAGUAUGCAAGUUGAUUAGGUAAAGAAAAAUUGAAAUAAUACUUGGUCAUAGAUCAACACACUUCAAUAGAAACCACACUAACAUCAUAUCAGACAAAUAAACAGAUUCCCCCAGUCAAAGUUUAACAAACAAAACAUUAAAACAAGGAUAAGAACAGUGCUACUCCAAUAACAUCAAUAUGGUUGACGACCGCUCUAUCAAAUCCAUUGGAAAUUGUAUACUUAUAAUUUUUUUUUUCAAACUUUGUCUAAAAUAAAUGAAUGAGAUAGGAUAAAUUCGAAUAAAUUAAUCUGCAUAAUGACACAAGAAACAAAUGUAAAUUGACCACAAGUCCACAAGUAGAAAUAUACUUUUGUUAUAUUUAGAGCAUCUUCCAAUUUCUUUCCCUUGAGCUCUGUUUCUUCGAGUGCUCAAAAGCAAGACACAGGCCUCAAGAUAUAAUUAUCAUCAUCAAUCUUUUGCAGCCACAUGCAGUACUUGGAAAAUGUUUACGGCCCUAAAUAACUGGAAAAUCAGAAAACAUUAAGAACAAGAGACUAAUCAUUUUAAUCGCAACGAAACAUGCACACUAUGAAAAUAUAAAAUUGAAUUACUUCGAAUGGAUGUGCCUCUUAACAGGAAUUGCACAAGCUAAUGAGCAAGUGAGCCUUCGAAUGAAAAUCUAAAUCCUUGCAGCCUGCGUCAUGCAGCUUCUCCCAAUGAGUAAGUGAGCCUUGAUCAGUUAUCACUCAGCUCAAACUAAAAUGAAAUUACUGUGGACAUGUGAAUUAAAAAUAGAUAUAAUAGCAGUUUUCUCAAAGCAAAGUCAAGAUAAGCGAUUAACUCUCCUCCGUAAUUACAUUAAAAAUAACAAACAAUGAAAAACAGAGCUAGAGAAGAACUUACCUGUGCGUUGAGACCAUGUGGGGAAUGUAAGAUAUCUUCUUAGAUUUGGUUUGAGAAACCCUGCCAAUUAAAAUUUCGGUCCCCAUGUAGCAGAAUUUCUUAUUUUUCCUUUGUACACAAAUGCAGACACUUAAGCAAAUUAAGAUUUCUUACCUAAAGCAAAUUAGGAUUUCUUUUGACCCUGCAAGUUACAAUUUCAGUCCCCAUGUAAUAGGAAAAUUUUGUGCACAUACUUAUAGCAAAUUAAUAUUUCAUACCUCAUGAUAUUUAUCAUAACCAUCAAUCUUUAGAAACCACAUGCAGACUUGUUAAGCUGUUUAUGGCCCAAAAUAACAGGAAAAUUAGAACAGAUUUUUAAGAAUGAGCGACUAAAUAUUUCAAUGGCAACUAAAAUUACACAUCUUGGAAAUCUAAAACUCAAGUACUCAGAAUGAAUGUGCCUCUUCACAGAAAUUAAACAAGCUGGGAACUUUAGUGCAAAUGCUUUUUCAUAAUCUUCAAUUGCAUAAGUCAGUUAGAAUCAAUCUUUCUUAAUCUUUCAAUUCACAGAUGAGAGCCUGAUAACACAAGGAAACACUGUAAGUGAAUUGGCAACUGUGACAAAUUUUGGGUAAAAAUCAUCAACUGUAGUUAUUCGCAUAACAUACAGUGUCAACACCAAAUUCCUUCCUGAUCCGUGGAAGCAUUUCAGCCCACGGACGGCUUGCUUUGUCAAUAUAUAUCAAGCUUUGUAGCUUUUAAGAAACUGAGAGGUGAAAGACCUGGAAUUUUCGAUAGCAACUCAGGAUUCUAUAUUUAAAUUAUGAUGUUCGAUAACUUACUGAUACAAAAGACAUUGUCCCAAGCACUUUUUUACAGGAGCUAAGAUCAAGCCAGUCACUUCCAUUUGUUGCAGUUUUAACGCAGAAAGAAAAAGGGAGAAAAAAAUCUGCAAGAUACCGCAUGUUCGCGGAAGCAGAGUUGAAUAAUUACAAAAUUACAUUCUUGAUUGCACAGAAAUGAUAUAUAGCAAAACAAGCAUAAGGAAAUAACAAUAUAAUUUUACAUUGUUCAGCUUUUGGUCUACGUCACAGUCAAAGACGUGAAGAGAAUUUUACUAAGAAAUAAGAGUGUACUAAUGUCAAAGAAAAACAUUCACUAAUCGCUGAUAUAUGCUUAAUUUCUCACUCACUCCAAGAAGUUUCAUUCUCCCAUAAUUCACUCAAAUGAAACUUUCAUUGGAAGGUCCUAUUAUUAAGGCUUUAGCAUCACUUCAUAUGCUCAACAAUUCAAAUUUGAGGAUGUUAUUUCACAAAAUGGAGGGCUCUAUUUGGCUUGUGAACAAUCUUCCUCACCAUCACCAUCAUUGCCGUACCAGUAGCACUGAACAAUCCUCAUUCUGACAUUUGCCCCAAUUAUCUGAUUACACAAGAAUCCAAAACAACUGUUAGAAAUUUUAAUCUUUAUAUAUAGCCAAAAUGGUGAAUAAGAUGAUGUACUUGAUAAUAAAAACCUGAUUUAAUAAAUAAUUAAGGGACCGAUAACAAGCACAGAAUCUCAGCGUGUGGGGAAAGCCUUGACAACAGAAGAUGGUGCUUUCAUUCAAGCAAUGAUAACUUUCCAAUUUCAUAAGGUAGCUUAAUGCCCUUUUAAGAAUAUCUGCACCAGCCUGACAAUUAUUCAUGGAAAUUCAAAUUCAAUCAUGUUCGUAUGAGAGAUGAAAUGUAAUGAGCGACUUGGCCACCAUAUAUGCAUUUAUCAUCCCCUAUAGAUUCCCUGUUACCUUGCAGCAAGAGGCAGGCCUUUGCACUUGCGUGCAAUUUUUCGCCCGAUUGGUUCUAAUUUUUCACCAUCCUCCAAAGAGCGACCGGAAAAUGCUAACUGUUUGAACAACAACCAACAUUCCUCUUCCGUCAAUUGCUCAAUGAAGAUAAUAUUUUUUGAUCCCAUCAUACGUGCAACUGACUCAUUACGUGUGAAAACCAAAUUUUUACUUCCGUGGAGACCAUGCUUUAGACAAUGCCUUCUUCUACAUUUAAAGUAACUUUGAGCCAUCCAUAGUGUAAUUAGUUCCUCUUUACACAUAUUGUAACCUUUUGAAAAGAUAGCACAAUGUGAGAAAUAUUGUUUUACUACGGACGAUAAAUCAUUAUAACUUAACAACAAAGGAGUUAAAAGACCUUUCCCAAACUCUUCUACCUUCCACAUUCCACUAUCUAAAAUUAUUUUCUAUUCUUCUAUUGGUCAUUUAUAGUGUAAGAAUUUCCCUAUUAUCUUUGCAACAAAAGGCAAGCCUUUGCACUUACAUGCAAUUUUUUGAUCGAUUGAUCACGAUCCUUGAAGAAUUGACCCAAAAAUGCUACUUGCUUAAACAAUGACCAACAUUCUUCUUCAAUUAAUUCCUUAAGAAAUGUAAGAUUUGUUGAUCUCAUCAUGCUUGCUGCUAACUGAUUGCGUGCAGUAAUCAAAAUUUGACUAUUGUAGAGACCAUUCUUUAAACAACAGAAGAAUGGUUCCCAUUAAUUGUAACGUCCAUCCCACACAUCAUUUAAGACAAGAAAAAAGUAUCUUUCCGUCAAUACAUUUAUGAAUAUGGCUUACAAGAGAUAACCUAAUAUUUGAACAUCGUCUCUGGGAUGGUUGCUCCUUUGAUUGUGUUGUCGCACCAUGAUGACAAGUGAACUUGUCUGAUACCAGCUGAUGAUGCAGAAACACUAAAAGGCUAUUAGAUAAUAUAAACUAGUAUUUGAAUAAUAAGUUUUAUUAAGAAUAAUUUGAAUGAACAAAAUUAGGGUUUUGAAUCCCUUUUAUAGGAGCCUAAAUAUAGCAAAUUUAACAAAAUAAGCAAAUUCAAAAUAUUUUAUGAUAAUAAAAUUCUUCGAAUCUAAAUAAGAGAAAGAAAACAUAUGGCACUUAAAUCCAAUAUCUAGAAAAAAUGAUAAGAAUCCUAGAAUAAUCAAGAAAAAUAAAAAAAUAUCUUAAAACUGAAAAACGACUAUAAAAGAAGUGAAAUUUUUAGCUCAAUCGCAGGGCAUAACAGCCUAGGUUGUUCUGCAUUUGGUUCGACUCAUCACAAGCUUGGAAACUAUAUUAUAUGUCCAAAACGAACACUCGUAGCCCAAUUUCUAGCCUCAGAAGAUACCCAGCUUAUUCCAUGCAACCAUCUUAUAUCAACUUGCCUUCUCUGCAUCUUCAAGCACAACUUGAAUGUCUUGAAGAUUUAUAACAAGUCACAAGCAGCAAAGGAGUUCAGCUGCUCCGGGAGAGGGGAAGCGAUCACAUCCAUUCUGGCAAAGAAAAGGAGAAAUAAUUUCAUAAGUUGUUCAACGUACAUUUGUUGCAAAAAUACGUUUAUGGUUAUUGUCGCCUAACCCACGCGUCAAUAAUUUUAGCAUUUUUAAUUUCCCUGAUUCUACUCCACAGCUGUGAUACAUAAUUGUAAAUAUUCUCUAAUUAAUUUGUAGUGGUCGGGCCAGUGCCAUUUAAAAAAAAAAAAAAACAAAACAAAAGUUGGAAAAAAGCAUGCAUCACCGAUAAUUCAUUUAUUUAUUUGAGGACGGGGAUAUUUUCUACCCACUUAUUUUACAAAUCUACCUUGCUGUCAGAAAAUAAUUGUGUAAUACGUUCAUACUAUUUUUAAAAUAUAUAAAUCAAUAAAACGUAUAGACAAUCAAUAAAUUAAAUCAUUCAUAUAAUUUUUUUUUUUUAACUUAGGUGUCUUUGACCAUUUAGGUUGCUUUAAGAUAAGUUUCAUUAAAACCAAAUUAGAUUGGACCUGUGAAUUGCUAGUGUGGUUCUGACAUUUCCUCGAAUCCCUGGUGAACAUAAUUAAACAAGUAUGAAAUAAAACAAAGUUAUGUAAUGUACUACAAAAAACAAUUACACAAUUACUUUAAAGAAUUAAUGUCACGUAUAUUAUAUAUAAAAAAAUACGAUUAUCAUUAUUUAAGAUAAAAUUGAUAAUUUAGUUUUCAACAUUACUGCAAACGUAUCACAGAGAUUUUGUCUCUCAGCAAGUUACACAUAACAAAUUUCCGUACAUUAAAAAAUAAAUUACAUUGCACGAAAUUUUAAAAAAGAGCCCAUAUUUUUUAAAAGUAAACAUAUAAAUUUCAAUAGACUACACUUGUUUUUUUAUUUUUUAUUAUUUAAUCUUUAGAAAACAAGUUUAACAGAUUUGAUAACUAGGAAGUUUUACGUAUUUAUACCAUGAUUGAUUCUUUAUAGAAUUUUAAUUCAAAAUAUAUUAUUUUAAUCAAUUUCAUUGCAAGCAACAACGAAGUAAAUCAGAGGAGGAGGAGAAAUUACCAGCCUUGAUGUGGGGAAUGUGGGAUAUCUUAUGCCAGUCUUCUCCUUUCCCCUCUCUAUAACGGUUUUCCAGAAGAGGACAUCUGUGAAUAGUCAAUUCCUGCAGCGUCGACGUUCGAAGGAGGUAAUCCGGCAGCACCUUUAAUUUGGGGCAACUCCAAAUUUUCACAACAAUAAAUAGUCAGUUCCUGCAGUGCCGUCGUUUGAAGAAGGUAAUCCGGCAGCGCCUUUAAUUUGUUGCAAGAACCAACUGUUAAGGAAGAAAGACGGGGCAUGAUGGAGAUGUUUUCCUUCCUCGUAAUCCUGUAAUUCCACUCUUCCAGUUCUUUCAUUCCGUGAAUUUCGAGUGAUUUCAAUUUGGGGAAGGCAAUAACUGAUGAUGACGUGAAAAAGUGUUUAAAAAACCAAAGUCUUUUUUCUUUAUUCGAAUUAGAAUAAAAAUCAUUAUGCAAAAGAGUUUUAUCCAAUUCAAAUUCUUUUUCAAUAACAUUUAUUACAUUUUCAGUAAGGAAAUAGGAUCGAAGGAUGGAUGUGAUUUAAGAAGAUCUUGUAAAUCAGAUUUUAAUAAGACAAAAGAAAUAAAUGGAUCUGCUUUGGAGUGCGGUUUGGAACGCGGUUGAUUGCUUUUAAAAAUCACUUGAAGUACGUGACUUGUUCUCCGACAGUGCAGACCAGACUAGUGCCUAUUCAGGAUAUAUAUAUAUAUAUAUAUAUAGAGAGAGAGAGAGAGAGAGAGAGAGAGAAAUGUUAUAGUCCGGAAUUUUAAAAUGUGGGAACGUCCGGGAAAACGCAUUAACCGUUCAGUUUAAGCACUUUAAGUUUUAAGCAUUUAAAACCCCACGAUUUUAAAAUUUUUCCGAAUAUUUCCCGCACUUUAUGAUCCCGGACCAGAAACUACUAUAUAUAAAGAGUGGAUAUUGAGCCUUUUAAUGCUUUAACUUAAGCAAAAGUAAAAGAUUAUAAAGAAAAGGGUGUAUAUGUUCAGCAAGAGAAUUCCUAUUACCUUUGCAUUAAGGGGUAAGCCUUUACACUUGUAUGCAAUUUUUCAUUUGAUUGGUUAUUGGUUCUAAAUUUUGAAGAUCCUCAAAGGACCGCCAAAAGCAUACUUGCUUAAACAGUGACCAACAUUCUCUUUCAGCCAAUUCUUUUACUGGGGCUGAGAGAUUAAAGGCAACAUUAUUGGGGCCGAGCGAUUACUUAAUUUGACAUAAAUUAAGAGUAGACGCCGGCUAAUGAAAAUUACAUGCCAACUAAAGAUAUUGUCUUGAACAAAUUGGCAUAAUAAUUUAUGCCAACGCUUGAUAUGAAAGCUUUGUUGCAACAAAUUGGCAUGAAUUUUAUUUUAUCUCUCUUUCUUCAAGGUAUUAGGUAAUUGCCCUAUCCCAAAAACAAAGAAAAAAGAAAAAAGAAAGUAUUAGGUAAAUGCAUGUGAAUUAGACAUUUGGCCUCCGGGAUCAUAUAUUUAUAUUAAAGACAACCACAUAACCACAAAUACAAUGAAAAGUCUAAAAAUUAUUGUUCAAUUUCUAAUUCCUCGCAAGUGCGAAAGGAAACAUUUUCCAAGAAUAAAACUAAGAUGCAUUUCUAGGAAUAGUUUUCCAACUGAUCUAUAUUUUAUAAUAUUUUAAGAUUUCUUCAUUUUUUUUCAAAAGAAAAUUUUAAUUUAAGAUUAAGCUCAUUAAAAAAUUAACAUCAUUAUAGAUUCAUUCAAAAUAUUAUAUGUGCAUAAAUACAGAAAAUUCAAGUGACACAAUUGCGAGGGGUACUCGGGUUUUAAUGAUCUUUUUUAUCUUAAUUAAUUAUUGGAAAAUUUUAUUCAUUUUUUUUUAAAUCCUGAGCAAGGUCAACUCCUAAAUGCUUUUGUACGUAUGUACGUGUGCUUGUGUGUAUGUGUAAUAAUUACAAUAUUGUCUGGUUAAUCCACAAUUUCAUCAGCAUCAUUAAUCCAUUGUGAGUUGAGAAAUAAGCCAUGAAUAAGUUCUUGAGAAGUUCAAAGAUAAAAUAUUUAUUCUGACACAAAACGUCGAAUGAUAUAAAAUGUUGAGAACUAAUAAUAGUUUAGUGUUUGGUUUAAGUUUCAUGAAUUUUGUGCCAAAUAUGACGUUGUAAGGUACAAGAAUGUCAGGCGUACUUGGCCGAAGAAUGGAUUAGGAGGGACGACGGAUAGGAACUUGAUUUACAAACUCAAAGCUACCAAAGUCUCUUCGGCGGGGAAGUUUUACAACAUUUUGUGCGGUGAGUCGAUAGACCCAAUAGGAUAAUGAUUGAUAAAAAGAAAUAAAAUUAAUGUUUAUACCUAGAUUGAGAUAUAAAUUUGUUAUCCAACUUAUGUAUUAUAUAGAGAGAGAAAUGUCGGGUUAGCCGACAUCGAUUGUGAAAGAGCCUGACCUCAUAAAUGUGAGGAAAUAUCUCUCUUUGAGCUAGCUUUUGAAGUCGAGAGAAGUCCAAGACCAUCUAACAUUAGUAUCAAAGCUCAGGUUCACCAACAACUCAACCAACAAUCUAAUAGGGAGAAUAGAUGCUUAUGCUCCCAACCCAAGACCCAAUGAGUGAGGGGAGAUUGUUGGGAUUAUCCCACAUUGGUUGUGGGAGGAGCUCAUGGAGAUUUCAUAAGUAUGAGAAAAAAAUCUCACUUAUUGAGCUAGCUUUUGACUUUUGAGGUUGAGAUAAGCCCAAGACCACCUCACGCGAAAAUUGUAUAGUGUUGGAAUAAAAAUUCUACUACCAAUAGUGGGCCGAUUAUUGACCAUUAAGCUUAAAUAUUAAAAUAUUCAUCCUAAAUAUUGAGAUUCAUCAUGAAAAAAAAAAAAAAAACUUCUCAGUUUUGGUAACAACUCAAAUAGUCUAGGAGUGGAAAUUUUUUUGAAUGAAAUACUUAAGCACAAAUAUUCUCUAAUCACUUGAUGUUUUAGACUUUAUAAAAAAUACACGACCACAUUUUUUUUAUAACAAUUCCACCUGAUGUUUACAAAAUGUAUAAUUUCUACACUAUUGUCAUCACGCCGUUAGAAUUUUACUCAUGUCAGAAUGAUAAACUUGUCAUUGGACUCUUAACGGACAAAAACGACGUCGUAUUUAAAGAAGAAUUAUAUAAUCCCAUCUGCUUGAAACUUUCUACAAUGACAAGACAUAACUAGUAACGGACAACCUGCUGUGCCAGUCAUUUUUCUCCUUCGAUUGGGAUCGUCGAUUUCUUUACUAAAAUCAACGAGUGAAUGAUUAUCAGCAUCAGGAGCCAAAGAAGGCAAACCGCCACAUUUUUUUUCGCUGUGGUCCUAUAAUUUAUUGAAAAAAUCAAACGAAUCAUAAAUUUUCUCUUCUGCAACGAUUGCCCCAAAAUAACGAAGUUAAUGAGCUAAAAUAACACAACAUAUAUACAACACAGUAUCAAACUACCACCAAAUUUUAUCACUUAACCAAUAAACUAAAAAAAUUCAAGGUUUAAAAAAAAUUUGAAAGUUUAAAUUCUUAAACGACUUGGUAAUAAGCCCCAAUCCGCCAUCGCCACGAUCCAGGGUACAGGUACCAGAUUAAAGUGCGUUUUCUCUUGAGCUCUCUUUUAAUUAUUUUAGUUUUAAUUCUGAUUUUUUAUUUUAUUUAUUAUUUAAUAUCUAUAUUGCAGUCAUCUAUUUUUUUCGUCAUUAAAUUAGGGCAAAUUAGUUAUUUUAUGUUAAGGGUAGAAUAAUCAUUUACAUUUAGGGUAAAAUAAUCAUUUUCUCAGUAUUAUGUUAAAUUCUCUUAUGCUGUUAUGACGGAAGUAGAGCAAUGAUGCACUUUAAACAUUAGGAAUUGUGGGAACGAGAACAUUUUUGAAUGAAAUACUUAAUAAUUAGCAACUCAAAAUAUAUCAUUUGUAAUGAACUACUUAAUUUGCAAUUUCUUUAGUUUUGGAUGGCAACUCGGGAUUCUUCAUUUAAACUAUGACGAUUUAUAACUUGCGGGUACACAAGACAUUGCUCCCACCACUUUUUACAGAAGCAAAAAUCAAGCCAAUCGCUUCCAUUUGUGGCAAUUUUAUCGGAGAAAGAAAGAGGAAAAAAAAAAAAAGAAUUUUGUAACUACUUAACUUUGCCGAAGCAGAGUUAAGUAGUUACAAAAUUGCAUUCUUGAAUGUACAGAAUUGAUAUGUAGCAAAACCAAGCAUAAAGAAAUAAGAAGAUAAUGUUAUAUGGUACGGCUAUUAGCCUAUGUCAUAGUAAAAGACAUGAAGAAAAUUUUACUAAGAAAUGGGUGUGUACAAAUAUUAAAGGAAAACAUUCACCGACGACCCAAAUCGCAGAUAUGUGCUUAAUUUUCUUACUCACUCUAAGAACAUUCAAUCUCCAAAAAUUCAUUCAAAUGAAACUUUCAGAAAGACUUAAUAUUAAGGCUUUAGCAUCACUUCAUAUGCUCAACAAUUCAAAUUUGAGCAUGAUAUUUCUCAAAAUGGAGGGCUCUACUUGGCUUGUGAACAAUCUUCCUCACCAUCAUCAUCCUUGCCAUACCAGCAGCACUGAACAAUCUUUGUUCUGACAUUUGCCCUAUUUAUCUGAUUACACAAGAAUCCGAAACAACUGUUAGAAAUUUUAAUCUUUAUAUAUAUCCAAAAUGGUGAAUAAGAUGAUGUGGUUGAUGAUAAAAACCUGAGUUAAAUAAUUAAGGGUCCGGUAACAAUCACAGCAUCUCAUCAUGUGGGGAAAGCCUUCGCAACAGAAGACGGUGCUUGCAUUCAAGCAAUAAUAACUUUCCAAUUUCAUAAGGUAGCUUAACGCCCUUUCAAGAAUAAGUGCACCAGCCUAACAAUUAUUCAUGGAAAUUCAAAUUCAGAAUCAUGUUAGUAUGAGAGAUGAAGUAUAAUAAGCGACUUGGCCACUAUAUAUGCACUUAUCACCUUCAAUUUGCUCAUCUUCGUCUAGAGUAUUGUUUCUGCUUUAACUUAAUCAGCUUGCAAGCCACAUAAAAAUGGUUUUAAAUAAUAAGUGAGAGUGUGAAUUCGAACAAUUAAUCAAAUAUGAUGACCGAAGAGACAAAAGUAAAAUAGCCACAAGAAGUAGAAAUAUACUUUUGUUAUAUUUAGAGCAUCUUCUACUGGCAAGUUCUUUUCCUUUAGCUCUGUUUCUGUGUGCGCUCAAACGCAAUGCCUCAAGGCUCAAGAUAAUUUUAUGACCAUCAAUCAUUUGCAGCCACAUGCAGACUUGAAAAACUAGUCGUGGCCCUAAGGAACUUGAAAAUUAGAAAAGAUUCAGAAUGAGUGACUAAAAUAACUUAAUCGAGACUACUUAAACAUGCACGCCUUGAAAAUCUGAAACUGAAUUACUCAAAUGAAUGCGGUUGAAACUUUACUGCAAAGACUUCUUGAAACCCAUGAAGAUGAUACUCUACCUGAUAACACAAGGAAACACAAUCAAUACAAGAAGAUGAUUUUACAAACAAAUGAGAGCCUAUAAUUAUUGGGAGAGCUCUACUCAAAUUUGAUGAGAUAUCUCUCAAAAGGGAGAGCUCCAAUACUAUAUAAAGCCAAAAAUCUAACACUCAUCAAACUGGCUUGUGAACAAUUAAUCUUCCUCGCCAUCAUACAUGCCAGGUGUAGUGAACAAUCUUCAUUCUAACAUUUGCCUUAAUAAGCUGCUUAGCAUCCUUAACCUGAUAAAUUGCACAAACAAAAACAACUUUACUAAAGUUUAUUCUUUAAAGGCAUAGCAGUAAAGAAGAUGAUAUCUGUUUAUGCUAAAAAUUGACCUGAGUUAUCCGAAUGUCAAGAAUCACAGCGUCUCAUGUGGGCAAAAUCAUCGCAAUACAACAUGCUGAUUUCAAGCAACAUCUUAUCACCUGUAAUUUAAUUAAGACAAUAACUUUCCUCAACCAUUACCCUACUCAAUUUCAAUGUAUUAUUGGCAACUAAAUUCAUAGGGUAAGUAGCUAAUCAAAUGCUCUUUUAACAAUAUUUCUCCAAAUAACAAAUAUUCGGAAAAUCUAAAUGACAAUCAUGCAUUUAUGGCAUCAAAAUUUGGCUGCAAAGCUGCCUGGAAAAGGCUUUAAAUUCUUAAUGAGGGCAUGAAUUCGAACAAAUAUGGUGAAUAAAGAAACAAAGGCAUAAUACCGCAAGAAGUAAACCUUUUCCUCAGACUUCUGUUUCUGUUUGUGCUGAAACCAAUGGAAACCGAUGGAAAUGAAUUUCUAUGAAUUAGACACAUCAGCCAAAACAGGUACUCUGUACAAAGAAAGUAAAAGAGAGUCAUAGAAAAAUUUUAAGAUAAUUAAACUUUCAGUCACCAUAUCAUUAAUAGAAACUUUGUGCACUACGAUCUAUUGCAGAUUAAGAUUUGUAUACCUAAGUUUUAAUUGCAAACUAAAUAUACACAACAUUAUACCAGCAUUAGGAGGCCGUACCAAAAUGUACCGAAUUUAGUGUGCCUCUUCACAGCCAUUGUACAAGCAUCGAAGACUUUACCGCAAAAGCUGUUUCAAACGUGAUGCACGUUAGAGAUGCAAGAUAUGAAAUUGUCAUUACAAGAAGCAUUGAAACAUGUGUGAAAACUGUUUAUGGACCUAAAAUAACUUGAAAAUCAGAAAGAUUAGGAAUAAGUGACUUAAGCAUUUUAAUUACAACUGAGCAUACAAACCUUGAAAAUCCAAAAUUGUACUCCGAUGAAUGAGCAAUUGCACGAGCAGCUAAAUUUACUGCAAAGGCUAUUACAACCCUUGAAGAUGAUACUCUACAUACCUACGCAAAGAAACACAGUGAAUAUGAAGGGUAACAACUUUGAAUGCAUGCAUGGCAACAACUUGUCAAAUAUUUGUGCCACCAACCUCCAAUUUGUCAAGAAAAAACCGUGUGAAAAUAAGCUUUGUGGGCUGACUUUUCAACAAUUCUCUACCUCGGUGAAGAUUUAGUAAAUCUGAGCCGACUAUCAACAAACUACCUUCCAGUUUCUGCUUUCUCUGGCUGCUUUUAAACUUGUAAGAUGUUGAUCAAGUUUAAACAAUGCUCAAACUUGAUCGCCGUCACUACCUUGGUCAACAUAUCUGCGGGAUUAUCUGCAAUUUUAAUUUUCUAAAGAAGAAUCUUCCCCUCAUCAACAAUUCCCGCACAAAGUGAAAUUGUACAUCGAUGUGCUUCGUACAUGCAUGAUAAACUCGGUUCUUCGUUAAGUGAAUAGCACUCUGACUAUCGCAAUACAUAUUAAUGUGCUCCUGUGCCAAUCCCAAGUUUUCAAGCAAACCUUGUAACCAAAUAGCCUCUUUAACAGCCUCUGUAAUUGCCAUGUACUUGGCCUCUGUGGUCGACAGUGCAAUUGUAGACUAUAGUGUAGACUUCUAACUAAUUGGCCCUCCAGCAAAAGUAAAUACAUAUCCGGUGGUUGAUCGUCGUUUGUCUAAAUCACCAGCAUAAUCAGAAUCAACGUACCCGAUCACACUUUGACCAAGUGUAUCGUCUCUUUCAAACAGUAAAUCAACAUCCAUGGUCUUCUGAAUGUACCGUAGAAUCCAUUUCAUAGCUUGUCAAUGUCCUUUACCAGGAUUAUGCAUAUAUCUGCUCACUAUACCAACUGCAUGUGAAAUGUCAGGCCUUGUACACAUCAUUGCAUACAUCAAGCUACCCACUGCAUUUGAAUUCGGAACUUCUAACAUGUAUUCUCGUUCCGCAUCUGUUGAAGGAGAUAAUUGUGCAGAAAGCUUGAAAUGAGAAGCCAACAGGGUACUCACAGGUUUUGUCUGCUCAGUCAUGCCAAACUGUUGUAGUACCUUCUUCAAAUAUUGCUUCUGAGACAAGCUUACUUUGCCACGAGCUCUAUCUCUGCAUAUCUCCAUGCCAAGAAUCUUCUUAGCUUCACCUAAAUCUUUCAUUUCAAAUUCUUGAUUGAGUUGAGUCUUGAACUUCUCAAUUUCAUCUUUGCUCUUCGAUGCUAUUAGCAUAUCAUCGACAUACAAUCGCAAAUAAAUGAAAGAUCCUUCUUGUAACUUGCAAAAAUACACACAAUGAUCAAAUUUAUUUCUUGUGUACCUUUGCCCUUUCUUAAAUCGAUCCAACCGCUUAUACCACUACCUUGGAGAUUGUUUCAAUCCAUAAAAUGACUUUGUCAAUUUGCAAACCCAAUUUUCUUUUCCAACAACCUUGAAUCCAUCUGGCUGAGUCAUGUAGAUUUCCUCUUCCAAAUCACCGUGUAAAAAUGCAGUUUUUACAUCAAGUUGAACUAGUUCAAGAUCAAAUUGCGCAACCAUGGCUAACAAAAUUCGAAUAGACGAAUGUUUCACAACUGGAGAAAAUACCUCAUUGUAGUCUAUUCCUUCCUUCUGAGCAUAACCCUUCGCUACCAAUCUAGCCUUGUAUCGAAUUUCAUUUUUACGAGGAAAUCCUUCCUUUUUUGCAUAUACCCAUUUGCACCCAAUUGCAUUCUUUUCCUUGGGCAGUGUAACUAACUCCCAAGUUUCAUUUUUGUGAAGAGACUGCAUUUCUUCGUUCAUUGCUUUCUUCUAUUGUAUACUUUCUGGGUUACUUACUGCUUCUCUGUAAGUGGAAGGAACAUCAUCAUCUACAAUUGGAAGUGCAUAGGCCACCAUAUCAACAAAGCGAGCAGGUUUGCGAAUCUCUCUGUGUGGCCUUCUAUAUGCAAUUGAAUCUUGUUGUUGUGAAGGUUCCUGGGUCAGAACCUCUUCAUCAUUUUCGGUCGAUGGAGAAUCAUUAUCCAUCUCAUCGACACCAGCUGGAUCAGCUUUAACUUUUUAAACUCCACCUGCUGCAAAGUGCUACUGGUUUCGUCAUCCUCUUGAGAAUAUUUUUGUUUCAACAUGGCUGAUUCAUCAAAAGUUACAUCUCUGCUGAAAAUAAUCUUCUUCGUAACAGGACACCAGAGACGGUAUCCUUUUACUCCACCAGUUAUACCCAUGAACAAUGCUUUCUUUGCUCUUGGGUCUAACUUAGAUUCUUUUACAUGUUAAUAAGCAGUGGAACCAAAAACAUGUAAAGAAUUAUAAUCAGUAGCAGGUUUACCAGUCCACAUCUCCAUGGGUGUUCUGCCCUCAAUUGCAGUUGAUGGCAAACGGUUGAUCAGAUGGCAUGCAUAUACAACUGCCUCAGCCCAAAACUCUUUGCCCAAUCCAGCAUUGGACAACAUACACCGAACUUUCUCCAGUAUAGUCCGAUUUAUGCGUUCUGCCACCCCAUUCUGUUGUGGUGUAUCUCGAACAGUGAAAUGUCGCACAAUACCCUCAUCUUGGCAUAUUUGAAGAAAUGGAUCAUUCUUGUACUCACCACCAUUGUCUGAGCGAAGUCUUUUGACCUUUCAACCAGUCUGAGUCUCGACCAUUUUCUUCCAUUUCAGAAAUAUGCCCAAAACUUCAUUUUUGUUCUUCAUUAAAUACACCCACACUUUUCUUGAAUAAUCAUCAACAAAAGUAACAAAAUAGUGCAUACCUCCCAAAAAAGCUGUUUUGGUAGGUCCCCGCACAUCACUGUGAACAUAGUCUAGAAUUCAUUUUAUAUCGUGAAUUACUGAACCAAACUUUACCCUUGUCUGCUUGCCCAGAACACAAUGUUCACAAAAUUCUAGUUUGCAAGAAUUUGUACCUUUCAAUAAGCCUUGCUUCGCUAAAGUCUGCAAAGCUUUUUCACCAGCAUGUCCCAAACGCAUAUGCCACAACUUGGUUGCUUCUAAAUCUGCAUCUUUUCCAGAAACUAUUGAUGCUGAUCCAAUAAUUGUACUUCCUUGGAAAUAGUACAAGUUAUUUCUUCUUAUGCCUUUCAUCACCAUUAGCGCCCCAACUACUACCUUUAAUAAUCCAUCUCUUAAAGUGAUUGUGAGCCCUUUAGAUUCUAGGACUCCUAAUGAGAUGAGAAUUUUCUUCAAGCUUGGUACAUAGCGAACAUCUGUCAAAACUUGGAUUGAGCCAUCAUGAUUCUUUAAUUGGAUUGUACCUAUUCCCAUAGUUUUACAAGCAUUGUCAUUGCCCAUAAAAAUAACUUCACCGUCUAGCUCCUUAAAGCUAGAAAACCAGCCCUUGUUAGGACGCAUAUGAUAAGUACAACCCGAAUCCAAAAUCCACUCAUCUGAGCAACAUAUCAAUGUCAUGCCAACCAGACUAAAGUUUGACUCCUCAUCAUGCUCUGCUACACAUGCAUCAGAAGUAGUCUUGCCCUUUUGUAACUUAGGACAAUUCUUUUUCUAAUGUCAUUUCUCACGAUAAAAAGAACAUUCAUCUUUGGCAUGUCUCAAUUUAGACUUACUCUUUUUUCCAGGUUUGCGACUUUGCGAACGACCUCUCGCUGUCAAUGCUUCUACAACUGUAUCUCUGUUAUCCUUUUUGUCUUUCUUUCUGGUCUCAGAGUUGUACAAUGCACUGCAUACAGCAUCGAACGUGACAUUGUCCUUCCCAUGAAGCAAAGUAGUGGUGAGAUGAUCAUAUUCAUCAGGAAGUGAAUUCAACAACAAUAAUGUCUUAUCUUCAUCUUUAAAUCUCUCAUCCAAAUUUAGCAAAUCCGCUAAUAUCUUGUUGAAUGAGUUCACGUGGUCAUUCAUUGACAUGCCAUGUGUAUAUGUAAAUCGAUAGAGUUUCUUUUUCAUAUAAAGCCUAUUUUCAAGACUUUUCUUCAUAUACUUUUCUUCUAGUGUCUCCCACAAUUUCUUUGCCGAUGUCUCCCUCAUGACAGAGUAUUUAUGAUCUUUAGCCAGACAUAGGCGAAUAGUACCACAUGCCUGUCUAUUGAUUUUUAUCCACUCCUUGUCAUCCAGCACGUCAGACUUUUCUUCAAGAGCAACGUCCAACUCUUGUUGACAUAAGCCAUCCAACACCUCACAUUGCCACAUACCAAAAUUAUUGGUACCAUCAAAUUUCUCCACUUCAAACUUUGCAUUAGUUACAGUAGUCCUCGCUGAUAAAGACGACGACGAUGCCUCUGUCAUCCUUUUUAUCUCAAAUGAUCAGUUUCUUCAACAAUAAUUUACACUUAACAAACAGCCUCUAUGAUGUUUAUUUCGCGUGAAUAAAUGCACCAGGAAAGUUCCCAGGAAACUGGACGGGAACUAGGUCCCAAUUAAAAACAAGAAUCCUUAGACUCUUAUCGCCUUUGUUGACAGAACUUUCCUAGACAUGCAAAAAUACACACUACUUACAAUAGACUGUCUCCCAAGUAUAAAUGGCCGUCUCUACCGUAUUUGUGAACAGUGCCGUAUAUGGAAAUAGUACCAUAUACAUGAACAAUACCGUAUCCGCCCAAGUACGAAUCGUCGGCUCUGAUACCAUUUGUUGCGGAAACGUGGGUUGAGCAAUUACUAAUACUGCAACUUCUGGAGAAAUAUAAAUGUGGUGUUAAACAAAUGCAAAGAAAAUAUAACAUAAUGAUUUACAUGGUUCGGCAUAAUGCCUACAUCCACAAGCAAAAACUAAAAAAUAAUUUUACUAAUAAUGAAAAUUUACAAAAGUGGGAAAAACUCACAAAACCCACAACCCCAAUACACCAAAAUGGAACCUCACUAGAACACUCAAGUGGAAGCUCUCUCAAAUUCUCUUAAAGAACUCACUUGCAAUUGCUCUCUACUUCUCUCAAAUUGCGAUGAUUAACAAAUGAGGAAUUGCCUUCUAUUUAUAAGGAAAAAUGGGGUGCACUAUUGCACCAACCCCAACAAAAUUGUCAACAUAAAUUAGGCACCUACCUUAGGAAUUUGUCUUCAAAUUUGCUUCUCCAAAGUUGAAUGCAUGCAUGGCAACAACUUGUCAAAUAUUUGUGCCACCAACCUCCAAUUUGUCAAGAAAAAACCGUGUGAAAAUAAGCUUUGUGGGCUGACUUUUCAACAGCAUGUACUUCAACGAACAAGUAAGACCAUUUAGCAAACUCCUCAUGUUCUUUAACUUCCCAAUCCCUGCAGGCAAUUCUCUAAGAUUUCGGCACCCCCUAAUAUCUAGCUUUUGUAAAUUAUAUAAUUCACACAAAGUCUCAGGCAGUCUCUUUAUGUGUAAUUCAGACAAAUUAAGAUAUUAUAAACAUCAAUUUUCUGACAUCUUUUGGAAUUUCUCUAAUCAAAUUUGGGUCAAGACGAAAAAGCAAGAACGAUUGCCUUAUAACUAAUGCUCUUAAACACGCCAAUUUACUAAAUAACUCAGGAAUGAUGCUACUAUCAAGAGACGAAUUGGAAGGACUUUCAUCAUCAAUUAGGAGGGUACGCAAUCUAUUAAGUCCAUGAAUGGGCAUAGGAAAUGAAGCGCCUCCUUUAAACUUUAACCCUAAGGGACAAACUUUCCCACCAAAAGAGUUUAUGACUGAUUCUUUGGUACCAUUAAUUUCUAGCCACAAACAUUCUUUGCUACUUACAAAUUGAGCAAAAUCAUGUACUAUGUCAUGCAUCUUGAAAUUCAUAAUACCAUCAUCAUCAUUUUUCUCAAACUCUUGAAAGAAAGAGCGUGCUGCUAAAAUGUUGAAACACUCUUCCCCAGUCAUCUCCAUCUCUUCAUAUUCUUCUGCAUUAAGGUAACCUUGAGCCAUCCAUAGUGAAAUUAGCUCCUCUUUAUACAUAUUGUAGUCUUUCGGAAAGACAGCACAAAAUGAAAAAUAUCGUUUUACCAUAGAAUUGGACGACAAAUCAUUAUAACUCAACAAUAAAGGAGUCAAAAGACCUUUCCCAAUCUCUUCUGCCUUCCACAUUUCACUAUCUAAAAUUCUUUGCCAGUCGUUUAUUGCACUUUUAGAACGCAAGAGAUUCCCUAUUACCUUUGUAGCAAGAGGCAGGCCUUUGCACUUGCGUGCAAUUUUUCGCCUGAUUGGUUCUAAUCUUUCAUAAUCCUCGAAAGAGUGACCAAAAAAUGCUAAUCGCUUGAACAACGACUAGCAAUCCUCUUCAGUCAAUUGCUGAAUGAAGAUAAUAUUUGUUGAUCCCAUCAUAUGUGCAACUAACUCAUUACGUGUAGUAACCAAAAUUUUACUUUCGUGGAGACCAUGAUUUAAACAAAGGAAGAAUGGUGCCCAUUUCUGAAUUUAUUUUUAUACUGUAAAAGGAUCAAAUUACUCACAAAGUUAUUUUAGCUUUCAUGAUAUAAACAAAUAAUCAUCAUUUAAUUUCAAUAGAAAGAAGUAUUCUGGGUAGAAUAUUGACUUCUUUAGCAGGGACUUCUUACUCUAUUAGGUUAAUAAUGCAUCGAUUGUCACGUCAUUAAUUUUAGAUUUUAAACUUUAUAUUCAAACUUUGUAAGAUCAUCAUUUCUCCUUUUUUAUUUAAAAAAAAUUAACUUCUUGCAUGAUCUAAUUGGUCUCGUUUCCUCUCAACAACUUUUUCUUUAAAACACAUUUUUAAAGCCAAUCUCUACAUCUCUCCGAAAACUUUUCCUCUCCAAAUUCCUCAUCUCUUCCUCACAAAAUCUUUGGAGGCAGAAAUCUUUCUUGCCUUCUCCAGUGGAUUCUCUUUUUUUUUUUUUUUUUUGGUUGCACCCACCUCUUCCUUAUGAUUUGAGGAUGGGUGUCCUUCCCAUCCCACACGUCAAUAAUUUUAGCAUCUAUAAUUUCCCUGAUGCUACUCCACAGCUGUUGUACAUAAAUGUAAAUAUUCUCAAACUACUUUGUAGUCGUCGGGUCAGUGCCAUUUAAAACAAGAACAAAAAACCAAAAUAAUAAUAAUAAUAAUAGUUGGAAAAAGCAUCCGUCACCAAAUAAUUUAUUUAUUUGUUUGAGGAUGCGGAUAUUUUCUACCCACUUAUUUUGCAAAUCCACCCUGCUGUCAGAAAAUAAUUUAGUAAGUUCAUAAUAUUUUUAAAAUAUGUAAAUUGAUAAAAUAUUUGGACAAUUAAUAAAUUAAAUCAUUCUUAUAUAUAUAUUUUUAACUUAGGUAUCUUUGACCAUUUAGGUUGCUUUAAUUUAAAAUAAAUUUUAUUUGACUAUUUGACCAUAAUAAUAUAAAAUGACUGAAAUGCCCCAAGAAUCAUGAACUCUUGUAUAUAAUAGCUUAAUAAUUUAAUUUAAUUUGAUUCAAUCUCUAAAUUUCUUCUUUAUUUGAUUUUUUUUUUAAAAUAAUGUGAACUUAUUGUAAUUAUUUCUAGGGAGUGGGGUGGGUUUACAAAAUUUAUAGGCCUUUUUGUUUAUUAAUUAUUGUAAAAUGCGUAUCUAUCAUACAAACACAUGCUUUGUCUAUAUCAGCCCUGAACGCGACCCUUUUUUCUAUCUUCGCUGUAUUAUAUGAUUAACUUUAACUUACCCCCUACUUAGGAUGAUAAUCUUUAAUUUACCUUUAAAAAAUGUGAAACAUCAACUUAAUCUAGUUACCAUUAAGAAGACAAUAUAUAAUAAUUCUCAAGUGCGGACACUUUCAUUUUUUUUAAUGCGACAUGCUGCUAAGUCAUGUGACAUAAUAAAGUUAAUCGUGCGGUUUAACAGUAUUAAAAAUUCACGGUUUAAUACCAUGUCUGUAUAAAAAAGUGAGGGCGCUCAUACUAGACAAGAACUCUGUAUGUGUGUGUACAUGUACAUAUCAAUGCACCCCAUCAUCUUUUGUUGAAUAAAAAUACAGAUAAAUUGAGGGUAUCAUACUUUGAUGAGUAAAUUGAAGAUUGUUAUUGUUAUUCCAAGUAGGCAAUAAAAAGAAGUUUACUUGUAAUAGAUAUCAGGUAUAUCAGGUAUUUCAGGUAGGCCAAAAAAGUAGUGGUUCUGUAAUCAAUUUCUUUUGUUCUUUUAAUUAAUUAGAAAGAAAAAUUAAGGGGAGCUUUUGUCUAUUGAAUUGAGCUUCUGUCAAGAAAAGUAUGUAUCGGAUGAUCAAUAUAUAACCUUUCAAUAAUAAAUUUGUUAGACUUAUUGUUAUUUUUGUGACUUAAAAGUAUGAGAGGAAGUAAGCGGGCAUUCAGUAUUGUUUUUUACUGGCCAUUGUCAUUUUACUUUUGUAAAUUCAAGUAAAAUUAGCGUUCGGUAGUCCUUCUCAUAACAUUUAAUUGUAAAACACAGAAUCUAACUUGCCGUUAACAGUUGUAAAUUACAAAACAACUGAUAAAUGUUUUACUUAUUUUAUAAAAACAAUUGUAAAAUAAAUUACAGUAAUAAAUACGAUUAUAAUAAAUAAUAAUAGUCUCCAUCUUUAAGUCUCCAGGACCUCAUCCAUCUCACUAACCCUAUCUCUUAAGUCUCAUCUUCCUCCGUGAUUUAUGAACUGAAUCUCCUUCUUCCAUUCUUCUUCCUCGGUUUGUUCUAUUUUUACUUCAUAGUACUUUCUUUUUUGCUGGGUCUUUUUUUUUUUUUUGGAUGGAUUUAUGUGUUCUUAUACAUUUUCUUGAAUUUCAUUUUGAUAAAAUCACCAAAGAUCUGUAGAGAUUUACAUUAUUUAUCUGAGUAUUUGGUUCUUUAAUGGAAGCAAGCAUGUAAUCUUUCUCCCAUAAGUUUUUAUUUGAUCAAAUGUUAAAAUGUUGAACGGAGAAUUAGAAUUUUUUUUUUAAAUAAAAGGAGAAUUAGAUUUAAUAUUUUUAAAAAAAUCUUUUUCCUGUUUAUGUCCAGUUCGAAUCUUUUUAGCAAAUGAUCUAAUCUCAAGCAUAGAAGGUAGGAAGAUAGAUUGAACAGUGAACACAUUAACAAAAAAAAGUUAUUUAAAAAAAUUAAUAUUAGAUGUCACAAAAUUUUAUUAUUAUUAUUGUAAGUUGGUAUAUUGAAAAAUAAACAAACUUUUUUAUAAACUUUAACACAAAUAUAAUUCGCAUGCAGUAAAAUUGUUUAAUAUAUCCAUUAUUUUAUCAUUUUUAACUUUAUCUAUCAAAUGCUUAUUGUUAUUUUCAUUUUAAAAAAUAAGAUAAAUAAAAUAAUACCGAAUACAUAUUUCAAUAAAAAAUUUAUCAAAAACAUCAUUUUCUUUCUCAUAAUAUAAAUUUAAAAAAAAAUACAGAACACGCCCUAACAUUUUCUAAAUUUAUUUUUAUACUGUAAAAGGAUCAAAUUACUCACAAAGUUAUUUUAGCUUUCAUGAUAUAAACAAAUAAUCAUCAUUUAAUUUCAAUAGAAAGAAGUAUUCUGGGCAGAAUUGACUUCUUUAGUAAAAUAUAACCUAUUUGGGACUUCUUACUCUAUUAGGUUAAUAAUGCAUCGAUUGUCACAUCAUUACUUUUAGAUUAUAAACUUUAUAUUCAAACUUUGUAAGAUCAUCAUUUCACCUUUUUUAUUUUUUUAAAAACAAAUUAACUUCUUGCAUGAUCUAAUUGGUCUCGUUUCAAAAGAAACCUCAAAAAAAAAAAAUUAAGUAAAGUAAAAGGAAAUAAAUCAUAUUGCUUAUCUUAAUUACUUUCAUUUGUUAUCGACAUGUACUCAUGCAUUGUGUUUUUUUUGUAUAUUUUAUUGAUACGUUUCUCUUAAGGGAUAAAACUCAUUGUGUCGCAAAAUUUUAUUGGAGCUGGGAUUAUUUAUAUAUGUUCUAGUACUGUGAGCAUCUUACUAUGCACUCGUCUAUAUUUAACAUUAAUUUUUACUAAUUGAAAUAUCAAAAUAGUCCAUACUAAACAUCUUUCAUUAAAGUUCUUUAUUUAUUUAUUUUUUGGAUACACUAAUAUAUUAUAAUUAGAGUUCGUAAGAGAGUGUAUUACAAGAAAAGAAGUGCAAAUCAAGUAUAUAAAAUCACAAGAUCAAGCAGCUGAUAUCUUCACCAAGUAGCUCAAGCAAAAAGACUUCGUAAGAUUUAGAAGUUUGCUUGGUGUCACAGGAUCAAGUUGAAGGGGGGUGGAUCAUAAACUUGAUUCAAGAUGAAUAAAUUCAAGCCCAACUCAUGGAAGGUUUCAUGAGUAGGUAUGGUUGGUGAGGUUUGAAUUAUUUGUGUUAGGUGUGGUAGGUUUGGUAGGUGAAGAUGAAUGAUUAUAAAUUUUUUGUAAUUUCUUAUUUGAAUGGUUAUGAUUAGCUUGUUUCAUGUAUAAAUACCUCCUCUCCCCUUCGGUUUAAACAUCAAGUGAAGUAACAAAAUCUCUAAGUUGUAGAGAGUGAAAAAUAAGAGUUGUAGUUGGUGAGGAGUGUUGUUGAAGAAAUAAAAUAGUGUGUUUUUUUAGUGUUAUAUGUGUUAAUUCUCCAACAAAGUGGUAUCAGAGCUAGUGUUCGAUGCUAUAUAUAGUCAUAUAGCAUAUCAAAUCGAAGAUCGCGAUGAGAGGAACAUAAUGUCGCAAACAUCAUCCCGAUCAAAGAUCGGACGCGCCCACGCUCGCCGUCGGAAUUUUUCUGUCCUGAAGUUGAGUCAACUCACUGAGUUAAAUUAAACUGAGCUGAACCGAACCAAGCCGAGCCGAGCUGAACCAAAUCAAGUUGAACGGAACCAACUCAAGCCGAACCAAGCUGGACCGAACCAAGACUACUAAGCCGACGUUGACCGUUGACCAAUGUUGACCGUUGACCGAAAGUUGACUCGAGUCCUUCCCAAGGUUUUUCAACGUGCCAGAUCCAUCCGUGCAUUCCAAAUCUCAAAAUUCUCACUCAAUUUGUGAGUUAUGACAAAUGGUGGUAUGAUGUCAUUUCAAGUUCCAUAAUUAAAGGAAAGUAAGUUUGACAAUUAGAGUAUUAAAAUAAAGACUCUAUUGGGUGCACAUGACGUAUGGGAUGUCGUGGAGAAAGGUUUUAUUGUGCCAGAAAAUGAAGCCACUUUAACUGUGGCACAAAAGGAGAAUUUUAAAAACUUGAAGAAGAAAGAGAGUAAAGCAAAGUAUCUCAUCUUUCAAUCAUUAGAUGAAGAUACUUUUGAAAAGUUACUAGUACAACAUCCUCAAAAGAAGCAUGGGAGAAACUAGAGACCUCUUACAAAGCAGCAGAGCAAGUUAAGAAGGUUCGUCUCUAAACAUUACCAGGGGAAUUUGAGUCCUUACACAUAAAGGCGUCUGAGUCAAUUUCUAACUACUUUACUCGAGUUGUGACCGUUUCCAAUGAAUUAAAAAGAAAUGGCGAGGAGUUAAAAGUGGUAAGGAUCAUUGAAAAGAUACUUCGAUCAGUAGACUCAAAGUUUGACCAUAUUGUUGUGACAAUUAAGGAAAUAAUAGAUCUGGAGGAUAUGACAAUCGAGCAACUUCAAGGAAGGUUGCAAGCUUAUGAAGAAAAACUAAAAAAGAAACAAGGAACUGAAGAACAACUUCUUAAGAUGGAAGUCAAUCCAAAGAAAAAAGAAGAAAGCUCCGACAACGAGAGAAAGUACUAUGUCCGAGGUAGAGGUCGAGGACGUGGACAAGGUUGGAAUUUCAACAACAAUAACUCCAAUUAUGCCAAAGGAGAAAGCUCAACCAGAGGACGAGGCAGAGGCAAUCCAAGAUCGAGGUAUGACAAAUCCCAAGUACAGUGCUAUAAUUGUCAAAAGUUUGGACAUUAUGGUUCAAAAUACAGAACUCCAAGCACCAGAAUUGAGGAGAGAGUAAAUUAUGCUUAAGAGAAAAAUGGUGAAGAUGGCACAUUUUUCCUACUAGCAUGCAAUGACACAAGUGAAGGUCAAUAAAAUACAUAGUAUCUUGAUACAGGUGCUAGCAAUCAUAUGAAUGGAAAUAAAAGUAUGUUCUUAGAACUAAGUGAAUCUGUGAAUGGCAGUGUCACUUUUGGAGAUGAUUCAAAAGUACCAGUGAAGGGUAAAGGUAACAUUCUUUGUCGUGCAAAAGAUAGUAGCCACCAAAUAGUUUCGAAUGUUUACUAUGUACCCAAUAUGAAAAGCAACAUCCUUAGUUUGGGUCAACUCUUGGAAAAAGGCUAUAAUAUUCACUUAAAAGAUUGUAGUCUUUUCCUAAGAGAUGACAAAGGAAAUUUAAUCACAAAGGUGAAAAUGUUGAGGAAUAGAAUGUUUCCUUUAAAUAUUCAAAAUGAUGUUGCAAAAUGCCUCAAGGCCUAUCACAAAGAUCCAUCUUGGAUUUGGCAUCUUCGAUAUGGGCAUCUCAACUUUGGAGGAUUGGAACUACUAUCCAAGAAGAACAUGGUGAAAGACUUACCAUACAUCAAUCACCCUGAUCAACUUUGUGAAGGGCGUUUACUUGGCAAGCAGUUCAGAAAGAGCUUUCUAAAAGAGUCAAACUCAAGAGCUUAGAAGCCACUUGAGCUCAUUCAUACUGAUGUGUGCAGUCCAUUCAAACCAAGCUCCCUUGAUAAAAGUAACUACUUCCUUAUCUUCAUAGAUGAUUUUUCAAGAAAAACUUGUGUGUAUUUUUUAAAUCAGAAAUCAGAAGUCUUUGAAGCUUUCAAUAAGUUUAAAGUUGCAAUGGAAAAAUUAAUCUGGAUACCAGAUUAAAGCCAUGAGAUCUAAUUGAGGUGGAGAGUUCACUUCCAAAGAAUUCGUAUAGUUUUGUGAAGUAAAUGGAAUUUGAUGCCCUUUGACAUUUCCAAGAUCCCUCAAACAAAAUGGUGUUACAGAAAGAAAGAACAGAACCAUCCUCGACAUGGUAAGAAGCAAACUCAAGAUAAAGAGGCUACCUGAAGAAUUUUGGGCUGAAGCUGUUUCAUGUGCAGUCUACUUAUCCAAUCGUUCUCUAACAAGAAGUGUGUGGGGCAAAACACAACAAGAAACUUGGAGUGGAAGAAAGCUCGGCAUCACCUAUCUAAGAGUUUUUGAAAGCAUUGCCCAUGUACAUGUACCAAAAAAAAUUUGAGCUAAGUUGGAUGAAAAAAGUGAGAAGUUUAUCUUCAUCGGCUAUGACAACAACUCCAAAGGAUACAAGCUUUACAAUCCAAACAACGGGAAGAUCGUGAUCAGUCGAGAUGUAGUUUUUGAUGAAGAAAGAGAAUGUGAUUUUGGCUAUGGUGUGGAUAACUUCAACUUCUUUCCCAUUAAAGAAGAUGAUCAUACACAGAUAAAACAAGUAGAAGAACAACAAGAGUCAGUUACUCCACCUAUCUCUCCAGUAUCAAUCACAUGUGGAGAUUCACCGCCAUCUUUUUUAAAUGAAAGAACCGAAGAACGUACAAAGAGUCUUCAAGAUCUCUAUGAGGUAACUGAGAGACAUGAUAAUCUCACUCUCUUUUGCCUCUUUGCUGAUUGUGAGCCAGUCAACUUCCAAGAAGUUGCACUAGGUGAGAAGUGGAGAAUUGCAAUGGAUGAAGAAAUCAAAGCCAUUGUGAAGAAUGAUACUUGGGAGCUUACUACUCUUCCCAAAGGUCAUAAGGUGAUCGGUGUCAAAUGGGUGUACAAAACGAAAAGAAAUGUGAAAUGAGAAAUUGAAAGGCACAAGGCGAGGCUAGUUGCCAAAGGCUAUAGUCAAAAGGCUGGCAUAGACUACAACGAGGUAUUUGCUCCUAUAGCUCGACUUGAAACUAUUAGACUUAUUAUUUCUUUAGCUGCUUAGAACAAAUGGAAGAUUCUUUAAAUGGAUGUGAAGUCUGCUUUCUUGAAUGGAUUCCUUGAAGAAGAGGUUUACAUCAAACAACCAUUAGGCUAUGUGGUGAAAGAACAUGAAGGCAAAGUUUUGAGAUUGAAGAAAGCUCUUUAUGGGUUAAAGCAAGCACUAAAGUCAUGGAAUAGCAUAAUGGACAAGUAUUUUCAAGAGAAUUGCUUCACCAAAUGCCCAUACGAACAUGCUCUCUACGUCAAAGAAAAUGAUGGAGACAUUUUGAUUGUGUGCUUGUAUAUGGAUGAUCUCAUCUUCAUUGGAAGUGAUCCAAGCUUAUUUGAAGAGUUUAAGAGAGUGAUGAUCAAAGAGUUCGAGAUGACUGACAUCGGACUGAUGGCAUAUUGCCUCAGCAUUGAAGUCAAGCAAAAGGAAGAAGGCAUAUGUAUCUCCCAAGAAAGCUAUGUAAAGGAGAUUCUCAAAAGGUUCAAGAUGAAUGAUUGCAAGCCUAUAAGCACGCUAGUGGAAUGCGGAGUCAAAUUAUCCAAACAUGAUGAAGGCGAAGAUAUAGAUCCAACAUUCUUUAAAAGUUUGGUCGGAAGCCUACGUUAUUUGACAUGCACGAGACCAGAUAUCCUUUAUGUUGUUGGACUUGUGAGUCGAUAUGUGGAGAAUCUAAAGACCACUCAUUUUAAAGUUGCAAAAAGAAUCCUUCGCUACAUCAAAGGUACAACUAAUUUCGGCUUGUUAUACUCAUUUUCUAUUGACUACAAGCUUGUUGGAUAUAGCGAUAGCAAUUGGGGUGGAGAUGUAGAUGAUCGAAAGAGCACUACAGGAUUUGUGUUCUUCAUGGGAGAUACUGCUUUCACAUGGAUGUCAAAGAAACAACCAAUUGUCACGCUAUCCACCUAUGAAGCUGAAUAUGUAGCUGCCACAUCAAGUGUUUGUCAUGCAAUUUGGCUCAGAAAUUUGCUGAAGGAGUUGAGUUUGCCACAAGAAGAGCCAAGCGAGAUUUGUGUUGCCCUAUCCAAGAAUCUAGUCCUUCAUGAUCAAAGCAAACACAUAGAUACUCGCUAUCAUUUCAUAAGAGAGUGUAUUGCAAGAAAAGAAGUGCAAAUCAAGUAUGUAAAAUCACAAGAUCAAGUAGCUAAUAUCUUCACCAAGCCGCUCAAGCAAGGAGACUUCGUAAGAUUCAGAAGUUUGAUUGGUGUCAUAGGAUCAAGUUUAAGGGGGUUGUUGGAUCAUAAACUUGAUCCAAGAUAAAUAAAUUCAAGCCCAACUCAUUGAAGGUUCCAUGAGUAGGUAUGGUUGGUGAGGUUUGAAUUAUUUGUGUUAGCUGUGGUAGGUUUGGUAGGUGAAGAUGAAUGGUUAUUAAUUUUUGUAAUUUCUUAUUUGAAUGGUUAUGAUUAGCUUGUUUCAUGUAUAAAUAACCCCUCUCCCCUUUAGUUUAAGCAUCAAGUGAAGUAACAAAAUCUCUAAGUUGUAGAGAGUGAAAAAUAAGAGUUUUAGUUGGUGAGGAAUGUUGUUGAAGAAAUAAAAUAGUGUGUGUUUUUAGUGUUAUAUGUGUUAAUUCUCCAACAGUAAUAUUCUUUAUUUAAAUCCUAACAAAUGGUGGGAUUUGGACUUGUGGCUACAAACAUUGAGUCCUCAGCGGCUGCAAAAUUUCAUAACUUAAUUUUAGUUGACGUGGCAUGUGUCCUAUCACAUAAAUGCAGAUAAUAAUUAUCAAUACAUUAACCAAAUGAAAAUUAUUAGUUUUAAAAAUACAAAUCCGAAUUUAAAAGGGAGGGACUAGACAAAUGUGGUGACAAAUGACAUGCAUUACCAAAACUGAGAAUACUAAGUCAAGGCAACUGAAAACAUCUCUGUCAAUUGCAAUCAACCGAUCACAACCAUUCAUAAUUAACCAAAAAAAAAAAUCAAACUAGUAUUUAUUUUUAUCAUCCCUGCUUUUUCUUAGCAUAGUCCUCGGAAUGAAAAUUAAAAAAAAGUGUCAAAAGGGAAGCAUUAAACACAGCAUUGAAGCACCGACCCAAAAUCCCAGAGCAACCAAAUCCCGUAAAAUUAUAAUACAGCAUCAAAACCGAAACAACAAAACUAAUCACAAACUGAACAGUCUGACAAUCAGUGACUAAUCUCUUCCACUUUGGCAGCAACCCCAUCACGCACAAUAGAUAGUACCCGUACAUGAUCACAUGUACACUUGCAUUGGUGACAAGUGCAAUAGGGAACAAAGACUGCUUCGUCUGUAACCAAAGGCAGCACAUUACGACGACGGUUGCAUGGUGGUAGACCGGGAGGAACGUGAGACGUUGGAUGGAGUUUGACAAAAUGAUCAAAACGAUGUCUAAGAAUUCGUGUAUUUUGGAGAGGUAGAAGAUGUAAUCGUAGAAGAAGAGAGGGCCAGACGGAGAAAUGGUAGGGGGGAAACAGAGGGUGUAGCGGAGGUGGGGUAAAUGGAGGAUGAUGGAGAGAGUGCAACCAACGGCCAAGACGAGGGAGGGAGGAGGAGGGUGAGGUUAUGGACGGCUGUGAUGGGCUUGAGGAUGUGGGGUCCAAAGAGAGGUGAUGAUGAUUGUGAUGUUGACGUUAAUGUGUGGUAGAGGAUGAAUGUGAGAGAGAGUUAAGUGAGGGUGGAGAGAAUGAGGAAGUGUGGGGAAGAAGCCGGGGUUUGGUUUUGAGUCCAUGUGAAGUUGAGGAUUUGUGGGUGGUUUACAAGCCAAUAUUGAAGUGUUGAGGUGAUUGAAUUUGAAGCCAAGGCUGGUUUUUGCGGGAAGAAAGAUUUGGAAGAGAUGAUGUUGAGAGGAAUGGGGGAGUUUAGAAAGUUUUGGGAUAACGUGAGGGGUAUUUUGGGCAUAUAUAGUUGUCUUAGCUUAAUUUUUGUUAAAAAGAAAUAAUAAUAAAGGAUCCUCUUUUCUCAUGUCAAUUCAAAUCUCCGAGUGUGUUUCCAACAGUUGCUUUUCUUUUUCUAUUUUUGCAUUUUGAAUCAUAAUUUUUCAAUUCAAUAUAAUGGCCUCUUGAAUUGUAAAAUAUGGUAAAAGGGGAUGAGGUGUAGUGUCUAGGCCUCUGUGGGUGUGACAAAGGUAUCUUUGGACGUGGCUGUCAUGUCAUUAGAUUUUUUUGGCUAUUUCUGCUCAAUCAAACCUGUGGAUUACAUGCACUCAACGUGGAACCCUUUUGAAUGAACGUAAUGGUUUUGCUGGGAUCACCGAAACCGAAGAAGCAUGGAACUGGGACCAAUUUGUUGACAAAAGUUGAAGUACAUCAAGUAAGAUCUUGCACUGUGAAGUACAUCAAGUAAGGAUUUCCACAAUCGGGCUAGAAAGGACAACUGAAAUCCGGUAAGAGUUUCGUAGAGCAUAAUUUUUAAGAUACGACGUUAGAGUAUUUACUAGACAUUCAUAAUUAUUACUUAAAUUGAUCUAAUCUCCCGCUCUAGUAUAAAAAACUUAAAAUAUUUUUAAUAAUUUUAUCGAAAUUAUUAUUUGACAAUCAUAUUUACUUCAUAAUAUCAACAUUUAUAUUAUAAUUACAGCUAAUACUGAACAAGAACUCGACUAUGAUAAAGUAAUUAAAAGUAAUGGUUUUUUGGCAUUACAAGAUGAUUCAAACUAAAACUUGGAUCAAAAGUGUAUCAAAGAAAUCACAAAGACGCUCUGUUUGACAAAUCUACAGCAGAAUUUGCAAAAUUUAACUAGGUUAGAGAGAGUGAAUAAGAUAUAAUUAUCAUCAUCAAUCUUUGUUUAUGGCCCUAAAUAACUGGAAAAUCAGAAAACAUUAAGAACAAGAGACGAAUCAUUUUUAUCGCAACGAAACAUACACUAUGAAAAUCUAAAAUUGAAUUACAUCGAAUGAAUGUGCCUUGUUUGGGGAUAAAUAGAGUAUUCAAAAUGAAGCGUCAUGUGUCGAUACAAAGGUUAUGUAACUAUUAGUUAUUCUCUGGGGGUACCCGAUCUACACCAUUAGCUCGGUACCUAAGAUAUCCAGCCUAUACAAUAGACUCGGUACCCGAGGUACGUACACUAUAAACUUGAUACCCGCCUACACUAUAAACUCGAUACCCGAGAUACCCGACUUACACUAUAAACUCGAUACCCAAGAUAUCCAGCCUACAAAAUAAACUCGGUACCUGAGAUACCCGACCUACACUAUAAACUUGGUACCCGAGGUACCCGACCUACACUAUUAGCUCGGUACCCAAGAUACCCAGCCUACAUAAUAAAUUUGGUACCCAACAUUCACUAUAAGCUCGGUUACCGGACUUACACUAUAACCUCGAUACCCGACCUACACUAUAAGCUCUGUACCCGAGGUACACCUAGAGAUUAAGAAAGUACGAAGGGUACCACAAAUCAAUUGCAAAACGGUCAAAGAAAAAUCUCCAAAGAGUCAAUCAUGAGAAACGCCUCUAUCAAUAUAGAGUUUAUUAGCUGGAGUCACCUAAAUAAGGUUGGCUUACACUGGGUACCCCAGAUGCUCUGUGGGGUACCUGAGGUACACCAUGUAAGGGUGUAAAAAGUCAAAAAAAAAAAAUUUUGUAAGGAAUCUAAAAAAGGCAGAAAAAAUGUCAAGGGAUAGAUGGGCCCCGGGCCCCGAAUCUAAAAAAGAUAGGUUGAAUACGUUUCAAAAAAUAAAAAAUCAGUGAGGAAAUCUCGUGCAACAAAAGAGGAGACAACCGCCUGUCACGCUAGAGAAUCAGCCAAAAGUUUGAUAUUAUGAUAGUUGGGACCACCAGCUUUUCCAGCCACGCCUCCAAAAUUACAACGAAUUUGCAGAGGUAUGCGGGACCACUCCACUACGCCUAGUACGUGAAUACGCCUCAAACUUGCUCUCCACGCCAAUUUUUAAAACGCCUAAGCCACCAUACACAUGAAAAGAAGAAUAUUCUUGACAUGAUAGUAGAGAACACCAAUAAUAUAACGCUAGGUGGCACGGCGACCUGGGGUAUACCGUAUAAAUACUCAGGUUUAAUUUUUAUCAAGUAAGUUAACACACGCACCAGAAAAACUAAGGUUUCUUCAACCCCAAAACCUCCAUUACCGAGAACUUACAAGCUCUCUAACUUGAGAUAACCCAACUCUGGCUUGAGCGUCAGAGUGUAGUAGCCGGCCACCCCCAGCUCUAUCUUUGACCUCUAUUUUUGUUGUUUUCCAGGUUUACGACAAUUUUCACCAGCCCUCGGCACCUGAAGUUAGACCCCCGCCAUAUCCACUUCCAUCUCAAUCCUCCUUCACUUCACAAAAAGAAUAUACAGCCCAUACGCGCCGAACAAGCGAGGCACCCCGCUCGCCCAAAAAAAAAAAAAUUUAUUGUUCUUAACUUGGUUUUGUGGUUUUUUAUUCAUUGACCCAAAAUCAACUGAAAACAAACCUAUUAACAGAAAUUACACAAGCUAAUCCUUGCAGCCUGCAUCAUGGAGCUUCUCCCAAUGAGCAAGUGAGCCUUAAACACUUAUCACUCAGCUCAAACUAAAAUGAAAUUAUUGUGGACAUGUGAAUUAAAAAUAGAUAUAAUAGCAGUUUUCUGAAAGCAAAGUCAAGAUAAGAGAUUAACUCUGCUCCGUAAUUACAUUAAAAAUAACAAACAAUGAAAAACAGAGCUAGAGAAGAACUUACCUGUUCGUUGAGACCAUGUGGGGAAUGUGAGAUAUCUUCUUAGAUUUGGUUUGAGAAACUCCAUCUUCUUCUGAAAGUUCUAACAGUUCCCUAAACCCAGGCCAAUACAAUUGCAACAGAAACUGCAUGCAUUAAGCAACAUCUGAUCAUCUCCUGUUAUUUCAAGAAAAUAAUAACUUAACUGCAACACUGCAUGCUUCAACCAUUAACCUUUUCAAUUUCAACAUUUCUUUUGUCCCCCGCCCGGUGCCCUUUUAGCAAUAUCCUUUUCAACCAAAACCAUAUCCAUUCACAUUCAAAUUCAGAAUCUUGUUAGAAUGAGAGAUGAAUAUUGAAGAAUAGUGACUAUGCAUUUAUAUCCUAUUAUUUGGUCAUUAUUCUCUAUAGUACCAUAGAAAUGAAUAAUUCUAUGAAUCAGAUAAAUCAACCUUCUUCACAAAACCAUGAAACAUUUUUCACGGUGUUCCACAUAGUCCAAAUCAGCAUUGGUGACAAACAUUUGAUGAAGACCCCGCCAAUUAAAAUUUCAGUCCCCAUGUAAUAAAAUUUCUUAUUUUUCUUUUGUACAAAAAUGCAAACACUUAAGAAAAAUAAGAUUUCAUACCUAAAGAAAUUGGGAUUUCUUUUGACCAUGCAAGUUACAAUUUCAGUCCCCAUGUAAUAGGAAAACUUUGUACACAUACUUGUAGCAAAUUAAUAUGUCAUACCUCAUGAUAUUUAUCAUAACCAUCAAUCUUUAGAAACCACAUGCAGACUUGUAAAACUUUUUACGGCCCAAAAUAAUUGGAAAAUUAAAACAUAUUUAAAAAUGAGCGACUAAAUAUUUCAAUGGUGACUAAAAUUACACACCUUGGAAUUCUAAAACUCAAGUACUAAAAUUGCAGCAAUUAAACAAGUUGGGAACUUUAGUGCAAAUGCUUUUUCAAACUCUUCAAUUGCAUAAGUUAGUUAGACUCAACCUUUCUCAAUCUUUUAAUUCACAUAUGAUAGCCAGAUAACACCAGGGAACACUGUAAGUGAAUUGUCAACUGUGACAAAUUUCAGGUAAAAACUGUCAAUUGUAGUUACUUGUGUAAUACAGAGUGUCAACACCAAAUUCCUUCCUGAUACGUUGAAGCAUAUUGAUGCAGCGGAAGCUUAAAGUUCAAAAUAUUCUAUUGAUUCCAGAGAAUGUCGGAAUAAAAGAACAAUUAAACUCACAUUGAUUCAAAAGAAUGCCGUGAAUUUAGAGAUGAAGACUCGUUGAUUCCACAGAAUACCGAGAAUUAACUGAACUCAAAUACUCACAAAAAGAUUUGAAAAUUAAAAAUUUUAUUGAAAUCGAACAUGCCUUCAAAGGCUACAAGAGGAAGCUAUUUAUAGUAGCAGUAAUUAUCCUAAAUCACUAAGAGAAAAUAAAAUUCUAAAUUGAAAAUGAAACAAAAUUCUAAAAUGGAAAGGAAAUUAAAAGUCCUUAAUUAAUUAGGAAACAUAUCCUAGUAUAAAUUCCUAUUCUACAUCAUUCCCCCCAGGAUGGAGAGAAUUUGCCCUCGAAUUCAGAUUAUCAGCAACAACAUCUUCAUCAUGAUCACCUUUGUAAGGAAUAAGAUGCUUGACAUUGAACACGUUGCUGUGCGGAUAUCACUAGGAAGCUUCAGUCUGUAUGCAUUAGGAUUUAUCUUCUCAAUAAUCUCUAACGGUCCAAUUUUCAUAGCAGAAGCUUGUUGUACUCGCCAAUUGAGAACCUAUCUUCGGUUAAGACAGCCUAAACAAGAUCGCCCACUUGAAAUUCUAAAGCUCAACGCUUUUUGUUUGCCACAGUUUUAUAACCUUCGGUCGUUUGCUUCAAAGACUCUUGCGUAGUUUCAUGAAUUUUCUUAAGCUGCUCAAUAAACUCUUCUACUUUACUGCUUUUGCAAACUAAAUCUGGAACUAGAGCCAAGUCGAUGGGAGCUCGUGGAUUAUAUCCGUAAUUCACCUGAAAAGGGCUUAAACCAGUACUGCGCUUAAUUGCACGGUUAUAAGCAAACUCGACUUGAUAUAACUUCUAAUCCCACAUCUUCAGGUUAUCGCCAACUAGACUACGUAGAUGGUUUCUUAAAGAGCGGUUGACAACUUCGGUUUGACCAUUUUUUGUAGGUGGUAAGUAUUGGUUAAUUUUAUAAUCAAACGCUACUGAUGCCAAUGUGCAAGUAUACACAACAAGUAAUAAAGUGAUGAAUAUUCAAGAUCGUCUCCACAAGAAUUGAUGUCACUUGAAAUGCUAUAGCAAUCACAAUAGUGCAAACUAACUUAAGUCUGAAGUUAAUAAACAUAAAGUAGGUUCUAUCGUAAUUGAUGAUUGUGAGAGAAUAAAGAAAAACCAUACCGUAAUGAAAUAAACUAAAUUAAAUGUGUCUAAGAUUCAAUUGAGACUUUGGUAGUUGAAUGAUCAAACUCUCCUUAUGGGCUUACUGCUUUUCAUCAAGUUAACACAAGUUGUUACAGCAAGAGCUGCAGCACUGGGCAGAAUUAAUAUGCAUCCUCAGCAUCGCGUAUUGGAACUCUCAUACCUUUAAAUAUAUUAGCAAUGACCAGUUGCUAAUCUACUUAUGAUAUGGCCUUAUGACCCUUUAGUCUCUCCACCCUAUAAGGUAAGCACCUAUGUCUAGUGUGUCACAAAUCUUAACUUCAAGUAUAGCCCUUAUGGGAUUUAAGAUAAUUUAAUCCAGGAAACUUAAAUUAAGAUCAAGUCAUACUCUAAUAAUAUCCGCUAAGACAUGCCCUCUUGCGGCUCUAUCUUAACUUGAACUAUUAAAUGGGUGGUCAAUCGAAAUAACAGUUAUAUUAACAAUAACUACUAGAGUAAAAUGUUACAGCAAUGACAUAACAACACAUAAGAACAGUCAAGAACCCAUUAGAUUGUUUGUCACCCAACUACGAGCAAAUCUAGUUCAUAUUCUUAAUGAGAAAAACAAACAUUAAUAUAUUGUUCACGGGAUACAUCAGAAUAGUCAAAGAAAUAAGAAAAGUAUAAGUCGAGAACGGCAAAAAGCAAAUCCAAAUAACUCUGUAGGACUCCUCAAUACUGCUGAAGCCAUCCUCUUCAAUUAUGAUCUUCUUCUCUUUUUUUUUUUCUCUAAUGUAUUCAUGAUAAUCCUUUUUUUGCCUCCUUUUUAUGUGGUGCACGCCCUCCUUUUAUAUUGCAAACUAGGGUAAAUAAAAAUCUGUGGGUGUGCAUGAGUUAAAUUAGGAAACAUGCAGAUCACAAAUCUGCAACUGACCCGCGCUUAAGUUUUCUCCCUCAGUGCUCCCAGAUUGCUACAGCACUGAUUGCUCUAACAAUAGCUACAACACUGCAUUAUUCCCGAUUGUGCUUUCUUCUUUUAUGGCCAUCUUCUUUCCUCCUCUUGCUAACCUAAUGUCUCAGCAUCCCUUCAUAAAUUAAGAAUUUCUGAAAACCUACAAUUACGCACAUGUUUUGAGCACAAAUUACUUUAAUUCAAGCAAAACUUAUUAAGACUUAACUAAAAUGAAUUUUUAUGCAAAAUAUAACCAAAAUGUAAUAAAAACACCUUAAAUGAGGAAUUGUCCAAGAGAAUUGUCCUCCUUUCAUUCAAUCUGUGAUUGGUGCCAUAAUAGUACUGAAAUGAGGAAUGAAUUACCUGUAAAAAGAGGCGAAUCCAUGGAAACUUCUGGUGGCGGAUAAAGUAAUUGGCUUAGCCCAAUCUCGAAUAGCAUCCACUUUUGUUUGGUCAACAGAUAUACCAUCCUUCGACACCACAUAUCCCAAAAAUAAUACUUUCUCUGUCAAGAAAAUACACUUGUUUACUGCUGUGUAUAAACUUGCUGCUCUUAAGGUUGAAAUCACUUCUCUCAAAUGUUGUAGAUGUAACUUGUGACUGGUGCUAUAUAUAAGUAUAUCAUCGAAGUAAACAACCACAAACUUUCCAAUGAAAGGGCGAAGAACUUGAUUCAUAACUCGCAUAAAAGUACUCGGAGCAUUGGAUAAGCCAAACAGCAUUACCAACCACUUGUAUAACCCUUUGCAAAUUUUAAAAGCUAUUUUCCAUUCAUCUCUAGGCCGUAUUUGAAUAUGAUGAUAGCCACUUUUCAAAUCAAGUUUGGUAAAAAUUGCUACUGCACUGAGUUGAUCUAAAAAAUCAUUUAAUCGAGGGAUUGAAAAUCGAUAUCGAACGGUAAUUUUAUUGAUAGCUCGACUGUCCACGCACAUCCUCCAAGAACCAUUUUUCUUUAGAGUCAAUAAAGCAGGGACUGCACAUGGACUAAGACUUUCAUGGAUAAAUCUUUUUUCUAGUAACUCUUCCACUUGGCGCCUUAAUUCCUCAUGUUCUGUAGGACUCAUACGAUAAUGAGGUCAAUUUGAUAAUGUAGAACCUGUUACCAAAUCAAUUUGGUGUUGUAUAUCCCGAAGAGGUGGUAAACCCUGUGGUAGCUCAUUGGGGAACAAAUCUUGAAAUUCCUCCAGAAUAGGUGUCAUAGCUUCAAGAAUCUUUGAAUUACCACUACUCUCUUUUCUAAAUAAAAUGUAGACUCUCUUUGUCUCUGCUACAACAUCUAUAAAUUGCUUCUUACCUAACAAAUAAUUACCCAAGUCUUACUGGAGAGUAAACUCCUUGUUAGCUAGGGGAACGAUCUUAGUGUUGUUAAAAAUAAAGUUGUAGAUGUUUCUCUUCCCAUCAUGCACUACGUUUCGAUCAUAUUGCCAAGGUCUACCCAGUAAUAGAUGACAAGCAUCCAUAGCCAAUACAUCACACCAAAUUUUGUCUUUAUAAAUUGUGGAUAAGGAAACUAAGCAACGUUUCGAUACUAUCACUUGAUUUCCUUUCUUUAGCCAUGUGAGCUUGUAUGGAGUUUGAUGAGGUUUUGUCUUUAAAUUUAGAUUUGUUACGGCUUCUUUCGAAAUGACAUUCUCGCAACUGUGCAAGUAGUUUGAAAGAUAUUUUAUUGUAGCCACUUGUCUUGGUCUUGACCUUUAGGAGUGAAGAAUGCGCGCUUCACGAUCAACAUUGGUCCGCUAUCACUAUGUUCUUCAACAGAUUGAGCGCUACCACUACUAUCAAAAGUUGGCUCUACAACGAACUCUUCAAUUUAUUCCUCCUGGUAGUCUUCACUUUUCUCUGUGCCUACAAAUAAGCAUUUACCAUGUUUUCCUCCCUUUUUACAUUUUUUCAUUCGAUGCCCAUUUUCUCCGUAAUUAAAACAGCGUAAUCCCAAACUCGAGGAUUGGGUUUUGCUGGUUUGAAUGAUUUCACUAGGUUUACUAGUUUUAUUUGGAGGAUUUGGAGGAGUGAAAUUAUGGAAUUGGGAAGUCGGGUUUGAAUUAUCACAAACAACACUUCGAGCACACCGAAAGCUUGAGUCAUUAGUAUGUCGACUAAAUUGUUUCUCCAACUGCAAGGCUUGUUUAUUUACCUCUGAAACAGAGUAUGGGUCAAGUAAAUUUAAUUGGUCUUGAAACUGAGAUCGUAAGCUUCUAAUGUAGCGGGAAACCUGUUGUUCUUCUGUCUCUGUCAAGUCAUUGUGUGCCACCAACCAAUGGAAUUCUGUGGUGUAAUCAACCAUUGAUCGAUUACAUUGCCUUAAAUUUUGUAGUUAUUGGUAUAAUAGUUUGGCAUAAUUAUGAGCCAAGAAUGCUCCACGCAAGUGCUUCUUCAACUUUCCCCAAGAAUUAAUCUUCUUUUUGCCUUACCUAAUCCUUGCGAGCUUUGUUUGUUGCCACCAAGCUGCUGCUCUUCCACGAAAUCGAGUUGCAGCAAGUGAAACUAGUUUAUUUUGAGGAACUUCUUUCUAUUCGAAAAAUUCCUCAAUGGCAUUAAUCCAAUCCAAUAAUUCUUCAAGUCAACCACUUCCUUAAAUUCAGAAUGUCAAUUCUCAACCCAGAUUCCCAUCUUUUGUCAUCAAUAGACUCAGCUCUAGGUCGACGUCCAGAGAAUGGGUUAGCAAAGCUUUCACUUGAUUUGUCUUCACAUUCUAGAGUACAAUGCCGUUCGUCAAGUAACUCUGCCAUUCAUGCCAUUUGUGCAGCUAACAUAUCAAUUCUGGCUAUCAUGCUAGCCAGGGCUUCAUCUUUAGAAACAUCUUCUUGAUUGUUAGUUGCAGUAUGAGCAUCACGAGCAUUUCUUGGAGGCAUUUUUUAAAUUUAGGUUUAAAAAGGUAGCGGGGCUAAAAUGAAAGUAAAUAAAACUUUUAGGCCGAAACUGUAAUUAAGCAAAAGUUUUAGAUUUCCGAGGACGGUGGUCGGAAAUGGAGCAAGGAUGGGUGGAUCUGAAAGAUUUUGGAUUGGUAAGUAUGAUGGUUUCUUCGAAAACUGGUGUUUUGGCCGGAAAUUGUAGAUAAAUCCGCGGUUUAGAGGGCUUCGGUUUUCGACGGUUUGAGCAUCGAUCGGCGGUGAGGAAUGGUGGGAAAGGUUCAGUUGAUGGAGAGGAAUGGACUGAUGGUGGUGCUUCUGGCCAAAUCGCGCCGGAAAGUGGUGAACGGAGGUGGCGGCGAUUGCGGCUGUUUUGGCUUUUUUUUGGCGAUCUAUGGCUAAUCGAUAGUGGAAGAUGCUUGGGGUUUGAUGGACGGCGAUUUAUGAUCUGAUUGGUAGUGGUUGCGUCCAGAUAGGUGACAGAAAAUUAAAGUCGCCAGCCUUGGACGGUGGCCGCGAGCUGAAGCUUUUUCUUCUGUUUCAAUUUUUUUUUAAAAGCUAGUUAGAAAAGAGUCCAAGUCAGAUGCCACAUAAUCGUGUGAAGAUAUCAAGCAAUAACCUUGGACACAAAGCAAGAAUCUGUAUUUAAGGAAUGAGAUCAACGAGAUUGUAAAUAUGCGAAGAAUAAUCUCAUGAAAAUAUUGUAUAAUUAAAUGGUGAUUCUUGCCAUGUAAACAUUUAACAUGUAAAGUAUCUAGCCAUGAAUAUAAAUAGCAGAGCUCUGUACAAAGAAUGUGUACAGCAAUAAAAAAGCUAUUCCUUUAAGAAUUUUAUCUUAGUAUCAAAGCAAGUAAGUCGGAAUAAUGACUUCAUCUAGUUAUGUUCAUACCACCAAUUCCGCCACCUAUACAAUACCACAAACCAAUCCCACCACCUUAAAUUUCACCGUCCCAAUCAAGCUAGAUAGACAAAAUUACCUGAUGUGGAAAUCUCAAGUCCUGCCCUCAAUCCAUGGCAAUGAACUUGAAGGCUUCAUAAACAGCACAAAACCUUGCCCAAAAAAAUUUCUGGUAGUUGCUGUAGACGACCAAACUGUAGAAGUGACUGUAAAUCCAGAAUAUGCACUUUGGAAGAAACAUGACCAACUUCUUCUUAGUUGGCUGCUAUCUUCAAUGAAUGAAAGUGUCUUAAGUUCAGUCAUCAGUUGCACCACUUCUUAUGAAAUUUGGAAUGCACUAGAAAGGCUUUUCUCCUCUUAGUUAAAAGCUCGAAUCCUACAACUUAAGAUGCAGCUUUAAACCUAGAAAAAGGGUUCUAUGACUGUUAGUGACUUUUAUUCCAAAAUGAAAAACUUUGCUUACAAUCUCACCACCUCAGGAAAUCCCAUCAUAGAAGAAGACUUAGUUCUCUAUAUUCUUUCAGGCUUGGGAUCAGAAUAUGACCAUGUAGUGGUUAAUAUAACAGCAAGAUCAGACACACUACCUCUUCAAGAAGUGUAUUCACUUCUUUUGAACCAUGAAAGCAGACUUGAUCAAUUGCAUACUGUUGCCAACAUAACUUCUAAUGGGAACAUAUCAGUAAACUAUGCUCAAUCUACUCAAAACCAAAGAAAAUACAAUAGUGGAAGAGGAAACAAUCCAAGAGCUAGAGGUAGAGCAAAAACACCACAAACAUCUGGCAGAGGAAAAUCAAAGCCAACUUGCCAAAUUUAUGGAAAGGUAGGACACAUUGCGUUCAAUUGUUGGCAUCACUUUAAAGAAGACUACGAGCCACAAAGCAAUGAGAAACACCAGAGUCAAGCCACAACUAAUGCUACAAUGAUUGAUUCAGAAAAUGAUCAAGGUUGGUACCUGGAUAGUGGUGUUACAAACCAUGUCACAUAUCAGAUUGAAAAUCUUGAAACGAAAUCUGAAUACAAGGGAAGUGACAAACUUAUGGAUGGUAAUGGUCAUAAGUUAAAAAUAAACUAUAUUGGUAGAUCCUCAUUACCUGUCCCAUAUCAGAAGCCAAUUAUUUUAAAAGAUAUUUUGCAUGUCCCUCAUAUUACAAAAAAUCUCCUUAGCAUCUCUAAAUUAUUAUCUGACAACGACUUAUUUGUUGUUUUCAAGAAAAAUACUUGCCUUAUACAGGACAAGAUGAGGAAGAAAGUCUUGCUUCAAGGACCGACUGAUGGAGGAUUGUAUCUGGUGAAAACAUCCUGCAAGACACCUGAAUCCAGAGUCAAAAGUCCCCUUGCAACUUCUCUUUUUGCUGCUUUAAAUAAACCUGUGUCGUCACACAGCGAGUCAAAGUCUUCUAAGAGUCGAAGUCUAGAAUCAACUUGUAAUGGAUUCAAUAAAAUAGAUACAUUACAUCAAAAUUUGGUCACCCUAGUGUUCAAACAUUAAAUGACAUAUUAAUGUCCUGUGAUGUAUUUAGUAACAUCAAUAAAAUUUCCGUUCCUCAAUUUUGUGCAGCAUGCCAAUUUGGAAAAAGUCAUAGACUAAGCCAUACAAACUCAGCAACAAAAACAAAGGAACCACUUGAAUUAUUGCAUCUUGACCUUUGGGGACCAUCACCAAUAGCCUCUAGAAACAACUAUAGGUACUACUUAAGCAUUAUAGAUGACUAUUCUAGAUUUACAUGGAUUUAUCCAUUGGCUGCUAAAUCAGAAACUUUUUCCACCUUCCAAGUGUUUAAGAAAAUGAUUGAAACACAACUUGAAAAGAAAAUUAAAACCUUACAAACAGAUUGGGGGGUGAAUUUAGAUCCUUCGUACCAUUUCUCAAAGAAAAUGAAAUUUUAUUUAGUUCAUGUCCUCACUCUCAUCACCAAAAUGGAAUGGUGGAAAGAAAACAUAGGCAUAUAGUAGAAACUGGCCUAACCUUACUAGCACAAGCCUCAAUACCUACAAAGUAUUGGUGGCAAGCCUUUGAAACAGCCACAUUCUUAAUAAAUAGGAUGCCGACAUUAGUACUCAAUCGAAAAUCCCCAUAUGAGAUAAUCUAUAAUCAAAAGCCUGAUUACAAAUUCAUGAAGGUUUUCGGUUGUGCAUGCUUUCCCCACUUAAGGCCAUACAAUUAACAUAAAUUAGAUUUUCGCACCGCUAAAUGUGUCUUUAUAGGAUAUAGCUCUCAACACAAAGGAUACAUGUGCUUACACAGUAGUGGGAGAGUUUAUAUAGCAGUAUAUGUGGUCUUUAAUAAGUCUGAAUUUCCAUUUCAAAAUGACAAAGCAUUUCAACCUACUGUAAGUGAGAAAAAUAUAGUCCAAUGUCCAUAUUAUGCUUAAAUCCUAACAGUGCCACAAGUUUCUACUUCAGGAUGUGCCUCAGCUAUAUCUCCACCAGCAGUUGUUCAAGAAGCAGGCUCCAACCUUCAUUGUCCAACAGACCGAAAGCACCACAUCCUUUCACCAAACCAAGAGACCAACACUACAGAACCUAAAACACCAUAACCAAACAUGAAAAACUCAGAAACAACAGCAGAAAGUACCCAAAACACUGCAGCUACAGAGUCAAUAAGCAAGCCAAAAACACUUCUCCCUAGUCACCCUAUGAUCACAAGAGCCAAGUCUGGGAUAUAUAAACCCAAAAUUUACAUAGCAAAAAGAUUAGCAAGAGAGAAAAUUGACACUCCAGCAAGUGUAGAAGACGCAUUGAAAAAUAAAAAAAUGGGAGACAGCCAUGAGGGAAGAGUUUGAAGCACUUCAGAAAAACAGAACCUGGGAAUUGGUUCCACCCUCUCGAGAUCAAAAGGUAGUAGGAAAUAAAUGGGUUUACAAGGUGAAGUAUAAUCCAGAUAGCAUUGUGGCAAGGUAUAAAGUGAGACUUGUGGCUAAAGGGUUUCAUCAAACAGCGGGCAUAAAUUUUAACGAAACCUUCAGUCUAGUGGCCAAAUCACCAACUAUCAUAAUUGUGUUGAACCUAGCUGUUAUGAACAACUGGGAUAUCAAACAAGUGGACAUGAAUAAUGCAUUCUUGCAUGGUGAACUAUGUGAAGAAGUUUUUAUAAGUCAACCGAAAGGCUUCGAGGACAAAAGAAAGCCACAAUAUAUUUGCAAGUUAAAAAAGGCACUCUAUGGCCUCAAACAGACUCCAAGGGCCUGGUAUAAUAAGCUCAGUUUAGCCCUUAAAGACUGGGGGUUCAAAAACUCAAUAUCAGACACCUCACUAUCUUUUUAUGAACAAAGAUGGAGAUACAGUGCUGCUACUUGUGUAUGUAGAUGACAUACUACUCACAAGAAGUAAUAGUAGGAUAAUUGACGAUGUGAUUCAGAAGCUGAAUAAAAGCUUCUCUCUAAAGGAUCUUGGCUCACUAAAAUACUUCUUGGGAAUUUAAGUAGAAAGGAUUGCUGAGGGAAUGCAUCUAUCGCAAGGGAAAUACAUCACUGACCUCCUAAAACGAACAGGAAUGGAAAAUUGCAAAAGCCUGCCUACACCAAUGAGCACAAGUACCAAGUUGAGAAAGGAAUGAGGGAAAGCCUUCAGUGACAAUAUCUUGUACAUGAGUGUAAUUGGAGGCAUACAAUAUGCUACCUUAACAAGGCCUGAAAUAACAUAUGCAGUGAACACGCUAAGUCAAUAUUUAGAAGCACCUAAACAAACUCACUGGGAGGGGUGUAAGAGAAUUCUCAGAUACUUGAAAGGAACCUUAAAUUAUGGCCUACACUUCACACCAAAAGGAAAACCAGGACUGAUGUGUUUCACUGAUACAGAUUGGGCCAGUGAUCAAGAUGACAGACGGUCUACUGGUGGUUACUGCACCUUCCUUGGUGGUAAUCUAGUCUCAUGGAGAUCGAAAAAAUAGAAGGUAGUGGCACGCUCUAGCACUGAAUCAGAAUAUAGGUCCCUUGUUGAUACAAGUGCUGAAAUCACAUGGAUAUGUUCUUUACUAGUAGAACUUGGAAUGAAGCCAAAACAAAGACUAGUAAUCUAGUGUGAUAACAAAGUGCAGCAUCCCUUGCCAGCAAUCCAGUAUUUCAUGCCUGAACUAAACACAUCGAAAUUGACGUACAUUUCGUCAGAGAAAAAAUUGCAAAUGGUAAACAAGAAGUGAGAUAUGUACUGACAAAGGAACAAGUAGCAGAUGUUUUGACAAAACCCUUGAGCUGUGAUCGUUUCAGACUUUUAAGAGACAAGCUUAAAGUCCCAAACAGACAGUUAAGCUUGAAGGGGGGAGUUAGAAAAGAGUCCAAGUCAGAUGCCACAUAAUCGUGUGAAGUUGUCAAGCAAUAACCUUGGACACAAAGCAAGAAUUUGUAUUCAAGGAAGGAGAUCAACGAGAUUGUAAAUAUGAGAAGACUAAUAUAAUUGUAUAAUUAGGAGACCACACCAAAGCAUACCGAAUUGAAUGUGCCUUUUCACAGCCAUUUUACAAGCUUUGAAGGUUCACCACAAAUGCUUUUUCCAACCCGUGAACAUGAUGCACCCGAGAGAUGCAAGCUAUGGAAUUGUUACUACAGCAAGCAUUGGAGCAUUUGUUAAAAGAAGGAAGUUUAUGAAAAUAUGCCUUUGGAUACCCAUCUUCAGGAAUCAAUUCAUCCGUAACAACAAUUUUCAAGAUUAUCAACUGCUUUAAGUUCAUCGACAUCACAGAGAUCUUCAACUAAAAUAGAGCGGAUCCGGCCAUCACUAUCCCUUCUACUGCUCUUUUCCUUUAGAGAAUGCUUGAAGUACAGAAUGCGUGUAAGGGAUUCUUAUUCAAGGUCCAAUGAUCAAACCUUGCACAAUAACAACAGAGGUAGUAGUUCCUUCGCCAGCCUAAUCCUUAGUCUCAGGAAUGUCCUCAACAGGGUACUCGAAAUCAACCUAAAAAUUAAGAAUGAGUUGGAAAACUGUUUAUGGCCCUAAAGAACUUGAAAAUCGGAAAAGAUUACGAAUGAGUGACUAAA